GGGUGCACGGGUUUCUGGCUCUGCAGCAGAGAAUAGUGGUGGAGGAUUUCCCCCUCCAAGGGCUUGUAUCAUGGGCAUCAUCUGUUGAAACAUCCUUGAGAAGUCGAGACCACCACCCUGCCCUGUUUCUGUUCCAGUUAGCAUAUUCCUCAUAUCCUGACUGCCAACCUGCUGGGCAAUCGGGCUAAUCUGUGGGCUUUCUGGUUCUGUAGCAGAGAAUAGUGGUGGAGGAUUUCCCCCACCAAGGGCUUGUGAUACAAUGGGCAUCAUCUGUUGAAGCAUCCUUGAGAGGUCAACACCGCCCCUCUGCCCUCUUUCCGUUCCGGUUAACAUAUUCCCCAUAUCCUGACUGCCAACCUGCUGGGCAAUCUGACUGACAGUGUUCAUCAUCUGCGGGCUUUGUGUGAACUGUUGCAACAUGCUCCUUAAGCCAUCAGGUGAGUCAACUCCCGUUUGCUGUGAAAACCCUUCCAACAAACCAUUCAAAGCAGGACUAUUUAGAGCCUGAGACAUUAAACCCGCCACAUCAAUCUGACUACCGCUGGUGGGCAAGGGUCGCUGAGGCCUAUCAGCAUUUAUCAAAUUAACAGCAGAACCUUGACCCCCGAGUGUUUGCAAUAUAUUUUGACCAUCUGUCCUGGUUUCCUGACUUUGAUUGAUGAAAGAACUGGAGGAUCCGUCAUCAGCACCUUUAGGAGGUUGAAGUCUAGUUCGUCUCUGUUGUGGUGCACACAUUUAUGGAGGAUGAGUCAUGAACGAGGACGUGCAAAUUUGAUAAAAACAAAAACAAAAACAAAAAAACAAGAGAAGAGAAGAAGUUUCAAAACAUGUUCACCAAGGCUUUGCUAAUGAACAAAUGUGUCAAGUUUACAAUUAUAUACUGUUAAUGUGAUAAAAACCAAGCAACACACACUCCAUGCAGUUCAAUAAGGUUCCUAUCCUCCUUACAUCAUGCUUCUGCCUCCAAAUCAAUUCUUUUUUUCACUUUUUUUAUCCUUUAUAAUUUAUAUUACAUUACAUGUUCCCAUAUAAAAAAACCAAUCAAUAAAUGUCUCCCAUUGGCCAUCCCUAGAGUAAAAAGUUUAGAAAAUUAAAUAUAUAUAAAUGUCUCCAAAAAAGAAAGAAGCCCCACAAAUCACUGUUGAGAAAGAGUGGAAUAGGGGGAGUUUCACCCUAAUCAUGCAGAGCAGAUCAUGCAGCAAAAGGGAUGAUUUAUUUUCAUAGGUACAGAAACAUAGUAAAUAUUCCUACCAUGUCAGCUAGAGAUCUAUUCUUUUUAAUGAUAAUCCCCAAAUAUUAAGCUUAACAUAACGAUUGAUGUGCACUAAAAUUACCUUCAAAAGAAUGUUAAAAUUACCAAAUCAUGCUAACUGGCAAAACAUAAAAACAUAAAUACAAGACUUCCAGGUUAAACAGCUGAAUGGCAUAUAAGGUCUGAUCAACCAUGUCAUCCCCACAACCAACGCCAAACCCUUUUACACUAGGUGCAGUUUAAUCCAUGCAUCAAUUGAUUUCAUAAAUUCUUGCCAUGUAUCAGGUCCAAAUACAAACCAUUCACCUAUAAAUCUCUCUAAAUGGUUUGACAUAUACUUUUCUCUACUAUGGAUGUUGUCCCAAUUUUCUCUCUAACAAUUGUAUUAUAGUCCUAUUUUGCAUAUCUAUCAUAACACUCAUCUUUGUGAAACUAAAUUUACUUUCUUGUUGACUUUUUACCACCCAACAUUUAGUUUAAUACAACAUCGUUGGUCUUAUAUGCAUGUGAUAAAAUUGUCCUUUAACCUUGUGAGGUAUUUUUCUCCUAUCACAUAUCCCACCCCAAUCAUUCAACCAUUUCAUCCACCCCAUUUGAAUCGUAUGAUAGACAUCUAGAUAUCUCUCCUCCCCGCGAAUUUGUAUGAUGGACCGAAAGUACUUAAAAGUUAAACCUAGUAAUAAUUCAGUGUUCCAUUUUCUUCCCGUCAUAAUUACAACAAAUAUGAUGCAUCCUUGAGGACAAAAUAUGAAGCGUUGAAGGGAACUACUGCAGCAAGUUUAUCAUAAAAUAUAACGUGCAAAAAAAAAAACAAAUAUAUAAUAAAUUCAAAGAGAAGACUCAUCCAGAAAAUUUUCAAACACCAUGCAAAUAACCUCCCACCAAACAAAUCCAUUGGCAAGCAUCAAUUAUGAAAUUCAAGCUUCUCAUUUCACAAAAACAUAUACAAUAAGCUUACCUUACGCUCUAAACCACUCAUACCCAGUCCAAGAGGAGCAGUUUUGGCAGGUUCAGUUACAUCUUGUUUUUCACUUGAAGAUGGAGCAUCCUGUACUUUUUCUGAUUUUACCGUUGCUUCUCCACUAGAACAAUUUUGUAAAUCUUGAUUGGAAGAACUUGAAACAAAUUUGUCGACCAAAACAUCUCUCUCGUCAUUACUACAGGUUUUGAUUGCCUCAGUUUGGGUCUGGUUGUGAUCGGACUAACUAUUAGUCAAAUAAAAACUAUGCUUGUAGGGGAUAGAUAUAUCACCAUGUAUGAACAAAAGUAAUACCUUCUCUACUCCACUUUCAGAAGUGCAACCAACUGAGGAUACACCGGAAGCCCCAUGUCCGCUCAUCUCCGCGGUAUCUCUCUGUUCAUUUACCUGUUCAGAUCCAGAAGACAAGUCCCUGCUAGUUGAUUGCAUUUGGCCUAAUUGGAUGCAGAACAGUUUAGAAGUUAAAUAUGAUUGUAUUGAGACUAACUACACAUACAAUGAAACAAUAGAUAUAGGCAAACUAUCUGUCAGAAGGAAAUGAUGAAGGAGUAGAAUCAAUGCUGUUGAAUUGAGACCCAUACAUAUUAUUAAAACAAUGAAUUGCUAACCACCUGACAAAAUUGUGUUGUCUCCUUGCAUAUUACCAACAGAAUUUCUAAAGUGUGACUGGAUUUCAGCUAAAACAGAUGACAAUGGAGCUGAAUCGGGUGGUAGCUGUGAAGUGGAGAUACUGAAUCCAGUUGGUGUGCUGCCAGCAGCUCCGAUGCCAGAAGGGUUAGAUGGGAGAGUUGCCGAUAUGACAUUUCUAACAGGUAAACCCCGUGUCGAACCUGAAUCACCAGAACCGGGCUCGCUACGGUGUUCAGUCCUUGUCCCUUCUCCAUUGUUUGGUCUAGAGCCAAUUGCUGAAACAAUUGGUGCAAGAGAGGCACCUGGCAGUAAUCAAAAUUAAAAAAUGUUGUAGAUCUCACCAGGAGAAGUACAAUUAGUUUUACUUACCAGCAUGUAUGUGAAUGUUUACGUUCCUAGGAGCACUUCCAACACCAACAGGGCCUAAAGUUGCAGGAGUUGAAGAAGAAAGUGGACCGCCAAACAGGGAGCUUGUUUGAAGUGGAAAUGGCUGAAAAUAGCACAUCAUCAGUGUAAACAAAAACAGUGAAUAUAUUUGCUCAAAAAAAAAAAAAACAGUGAAUAUAUAAAGUAUCAACAAAACCACACAGAUAAAGACAAAUUUCAGUAGAUUGGUCAUCAAAAAUGCUACAGUCUUCAACGAUGAACUUACGUAGAUUGAGCUUGAGCAUACGCAAUUAUCAAGGCCCAGAGUACCAUGAUCUAGAUUGUACAACAAAAAUGAUGUGUUUGUGUUGAAAUUUGGGGUCUAACUCAUCUUUACAAAACCGGCUUGUAAGGUGAGGAGUGCCUCUUCUUUAUAAACUCUUCUCAAGAGUGCUAUCUAUCCGAUGUGGGACUAAAUCCACCCCCUCAAAGCCAACACAAUGAAGGGGUUGGAGGCUGCAAUGAAGGCUAACCAAAGGUCGCAAUUUAGGUGACUAGGGGCAAACCGCAAUUAAGGCAGAAUUCCAACACACCCCCUCACGCUUCAGCCCAGCCCAAUGGGCCUGCCUCAAAGCCAACACAAUGAAGGUGUUGGAGGCUGCAAUGAAGGCUAACCAAAGGUCGCAAUUUAGGCGACUAGGGGCGGACCGCAAUUAAAGCGGAAUUUCCAACAGUUUGAAAUUAAGAUCAUUGAAAAUUGCUACACCGACAUCCAGCUACAGAGACACAAAACAUAGUAGUCUCCAUCGUCAUAUUAGAUUGGUUAACAAUUUAAACUUGUUCUCACCCCGAUGGUUGUAUUAGGAAGAGAUAAACCUAAUUCUAGACAACCAAACCAGGAAAAUAUGAUAUUAGUGUGUGGGUUCGGUGUCUAGGAUCAACACAGGUUUUAUCAGGUAGAACUCUUGAAAACUCAAUGAACCUGCUAGGAUUAGGUAAACUAAACUAGUCAUAGGUUCCCUUUGAAUCGGUUAGGAAUCACAGGUUUUCUCAAGUAGAACUCUUGAACACUCAAUGAACCUCUUAGGAUUAUGUAUACUAGUCAUAGGUUCUCUUUGAAUCGGUUAGGAAUCUUAACUGAAUUGUAUUGAAUGACUGAUCAAAUGAUUGCAAUCCCUAAUUGUCUAUUUAUAGACUUUGCAGUAGAUCUGCAGUAGCAGGUUACUACUCUAAGCUGACUGACUAGUGUCAGUUAGUUACAACUCCACUAACGGUCAUAGCAGUUAGUUACACAGUGGAGAGAUAGGGUCAGGGAGGACCUAUGGCAAGCUCUCGUGAGCUUGCUCUGAAUCUAGCUAUAAUAGUCCUUCAAUAGAACCGAAUCUAAAAACAUGAAAAGUAUUUUGACAGAAGUUCAGAAUGGAUGCAUAGAGGCAGGCACCAUGCAAGCAGAUUUUGGGAAGCAUGCCACGGGUACCUUGAGGACAAGGCUGCACUUGAAGAGGUGGCAAGGUAAUGUUAGGAUGCAAGGAAAAGGAAAAAUUAGAGAACAUUAGGGAGGUUAAGUUGGUAAAAGGCGUAUCAUAAAAAUUGGACAAACAAGAAAAACAGGGAGGUUUCUGAUGCAUAAGAAGACAAAACUAGUGGAGGAGAGUCUUCUCCGCUAUUCUCAGUAAUAUUAAAAAAAAAAAAAAAAUACUCUUUCGAUUAUUUCUAUCAAUUUCCCAUUUACGUUGGUUUCCUAGCAUGAACAUAGAUGACAUAGGAAUAAUAAUUGACUCUCCAAAUGUACAAAUAUAUAUGAGCAAACAAUCAUUUUAGUUUCCAAAGGUACAAAUAUCAAGUAGAACCCCAAAAAACAUCCUUCUACAUGCACACCAUGACAACACAAAUAAUGGGGAUUCUAAUUUAAAGAUUGAAUAAAUUUUAUCUUCUAAGACUGCAAGGAUAAACUGACGCCACUAUCAGUAGUUGAUGGACUAGAUUGGUUGUGAUUAUGUUUAGAGGACCAAAGAUGUGUCACCAAUAUCUUUGAUAGUGAUAGGUUAAAUGAGUGUUUACUCUUCAUAAUUAUAUGUGGACACCAUUUGAUGAGCAACUUGUGGUACUCGAUAGUGAACUGAACUAAGCCCAGUCCCCUACACCUUAACAUGUUUAGAAUACAAUAUUGAAGUACACUCCAUGUACACCAUAUCAGAACUCAAUAAUUCCUUUAAUAAAACGAAUCUUCUCGACACAGAAAGACUGCAGUCUUACUGCAUUAUUGAUUUUUUUUCGAUUUCCCUCACUAGUCUCUUGUCUAGCUUGCUUUAUUUUCGUCUCAAAAAGAUAUCUGUUUUUUCCUUCUUUGAUGUACCAUACAGGAGUAAAUUAGCCUUAUACAAAAACAUUUGAAUACAAUCAGAUUCAUAAGAAUUUUUUAUCAUUCUUAAAACCUCUUCUUUCAUGAACAAUCUAUUCAACUAAUGCCUAAUAGAGAUCACAUGUUAUCUUAAACAUAAUUUAAUGAAUAUCAACUAUUUUUCCUUGCAUAUUGGCAGAAAUGUAGCUUGUAUUGUUCCUAAGCCACGAAAUCCCAAGUAUGCAGUAUAACACGUGAACAGUUAAGAGUCAAGUUCAGGUCAUAAAAUUUGAAGACUCGUGUUGCACAAUUGAACUUUCAUCAAACAGCUUGACUAGGACAAGGUAUUGAAAUGAAAAUGGUUAUCAACUGACUUUUUUCCAAUCUUCAAUCCUUUAUCAAUAAUCUAUUAUGUUGAACCAGCUUAAUGAUUUAUAAUGUCUAGAGUCAAGUUUUGACAUAUCAACUCAGCACAGUUUAUUGCAUGUCUUCAUCAACUUAAUUGAUAUAUCAAAUAAUGUGAAUAUAUCAAAAAUGACAAACCUGCACCAUUAUAGGAUUUGGCCCUGAUGGAGAAAUAUAAACUGCUGGUCCAGCAUUAACAACAGAUUCUGCCUGAAAAUUGAAUAUGAUCAUGAAAAGUAUUUUGUCAAAAGAAAGCAAUCCAAAUCACAAAUGAAAAUAAUGAAAACAUACCGAAGACUGUCCCAUUCGCAGUGUUAACAUAGUUCGGCCUAGUUCAAGUAGAAGUGCACCCAAAUGCUGCAUAGCAAUUCCUAUUUGUACUGACUCUGACUGUAUUUGACCUCUUACACCUAGAUCAGCAGAAGUUCCCUCUCGCUCCAUGCGUCCUGCAAUAUGCUAGUCACAAAUUACAAGUAAAACAGAAUCAGAUAAAUAUAAAGGAUGAAAAUAUUGAGACUAGUUGACAUUAACAAAUCCAUACAAUUAAAAUGCACUUCAUCAUGACAACAUUUUUGUGUUAAAUAAACAGAAGCACUUCUGUUUGAGACUUGGAUUCUAUCAGAUUCAUGUAUCAUUGCACCAACACAUAUAUCAGUGAUGGAAAGCAGGAUACAUUAGAUUAGAAAUUUUAACCAACAAGAGGGUAUUCAGAAAAAUACAUCCUUCAUAUCCUAUGUGAUCUUUAACUGGCACAACAGAAUGUGAUGUAUAUGGGUGGUCCCUUGAUUAAUCAACUGAUAGGUGUUAAAAUUGCAGGCGUUAUCUUAGUACAACAAAGUCCAACAUUGCUAAAAAAGCAAAGAGAAGGAAAACUCAAUUAUUUUCAGUUCAUACAGUUUUACUUUUACCAUCAAAGCAUGCUCAAAAUACCAAUUAUUAUGAAGACAUUUAAUGUCCUCUCUUUCUUUCUCUCUUUCUCUCACACACACAUAUAUACACACACACAUAACAAAUUAAAGAUUUACAACGGUUACAAUAUUGAGACAAGACAAUUUAGUUGUGUCCGAAAUUUGGACAUAUUUAGGAUUAUCCUAGGCAAGAAUUCUGGCCAGUUUCCAGUAAAGUUUAUACAACAACAAACGUCUAAUAAGUGCAGAUAGUGAAAAAUGUAUGUAUAUAAAUGGGAUGUGGUAAUUACAGAUAGCGCAGAAACAGCUUGACCACUAAGCAACUGUUCUGUACGAUGCAAUACAGUGGUUAGUGCUUCAAGUGUUGGCAACCCUUGUGUAUUGGAAGGCAAUUCUGCUCUUUGAUCUCCAAGGUUAGUUGAAGAUAUAUUUGGCCCAUAACCUGCAAAAGCAAAUAUAAAUACUUAUGUGCCCUUUCAAUUCUAGAUAGAAGAUUACAGUUUCAGCACCAUUACCAUUUUGAGAGAGUGCAUGUUCCAUGCGAUUUAUGAACACAGACAGUGUGUUGAGUGAAUGGGGAAUUGGCUGAAAUGAUGUGAGUUAAAUGAUAUUCAAAUACAAAAUUUAAAGGAGUAAAAAUUAAGAGGAAGUGCAGAAGAGAGACUCUAUUCCUACAGCAUUGAAAGAAGGAACAGGUAUGGCUCCAGCAGCCAUAGGAAUUUGAACAACAUGAGGAAACGGUUGGAAUGCCUGUCCAGACGGUGCCUGAUUUCCAGCUUGAUUUCCUUCAGUUCCGUUCCCCGGUGGAGCCUAAAAAAAUGGAUUCAGCUCUGGUUAAGGUGCGCACAUAUAUUGCAGUAUGGAUGUAGCAAAACAAGAUGUACCGACUCAAGAGGACAACUCUUUGUGCUGCACUGAAUCUUUUUCAAAAUUAAAAUAAUUGUGGAGAAUAAAAGGAAUUAACCGUGUCAUUAUAAAAAUCAUACGGGAAAAAAAAAAUUAUUCAUUUUACAAAAAAGGGGGAAAAGAUAUGCCAAAAGUAAAUAAAUUAUCUACUUUUGAAGAUAAAUAAUCAUUUAUAGGAUAUUUGACAUUUCUCACUAGUAGGACAAUAGAUGAAACUGUUUACCACUACGAAACACAAACCAGCUGGAAUAGUUACAGCAACAUGUGAUGUGAUUACUUCAUUAAUCAUGAUCUAAGAAGAUAAAAUUGAAAGGACGAGUAUAAGGAACCUAAACAACAAUUACCAUGCACUUUCAAGGAUAAUCUAAACGCAGACUAAAAUCAUAGAUGGCUGUGAAUUUAAUUCAGAGUGAUGAGUGAUUCGUGUAUAAGAAAAUAAUAAUCUAGUAAAUUACACAAAUGGCAAAAAGUCGUAUUUUCUCAAGCAAAAAGUAAAACUGACCGAAGAAGUUUGUGCGGAAUUAGGAGCAUUCAUUGUACCCUGGCCACCAUUUGCAAAAGAAUUCAAAACUGCCCCGAUAACCUGAAAUCAUAUUACAUCAAUAAAUAAUGUUUUCAGGCAAUACCAAAGCAAAACAUCAUCACUAACGCAUAUAUGAAAGAAAGAAAGAAAGAAAAAACUUUAUUAGUAUAAGUUGUAGAUACUGUAGGGAGAAGCAAAGAAUACAGUAACGAACCCGAGUAAUGUCUUGAGAAAUGCCUUCACCACCCUGAUCCCCCACAUUAAUAGUCCCAAGAACCACACUGUGUGAAAUUUGCCCAACACGGCUACGUGGAGCUCCUGAACCAACAUUGUUUCCUUUCAAAUGAUAAAAUUUAUCAUCAGCAUUUAGCACAAUACAACUUGAUCUAUGAAAAAGCCUCGAUCAAACGGGGGAGUGCAAAUGACUAGGUUAUACCUCGGUUACUAUUUGCAUUAGUUGUCUCACUGCCGGACCCGGUAGCAGACGUCUGUGUCUGAUUUGGCUGUCUUUCAACCAAAUGCAAUGUAUGGCCAUUCUCAACAUCUUUAGUGGAUAAGGAUGGCGGUGUGAUUUAAAAUAAUGAGCCAUUUUAUGAUACAUGAAAUUCUACUAGAUGGCAUAUCAUAUUCUUGAACCUAGGAAUACACAAAUUUAAAAGCUAAAGUAAUAAAUAAAUAAAUAAAUAGAGAGAUGGUGUUAAUAAAAGGAUACGAUAGUGAGAAAGAAGGUGUUCAUCCUUUAAGACUUUUCCUCUAAAAAUGAGUCGUUGCUGAUUAACAGGUAAACCUACUUCAGUUGCAAUUUUGUCUUUGAAGAGGGAAACGGGCAUCUGAAAUGAAAUAAUUGAUUGAAAAGAGUAAUCAAUCAGUAAAAAAGAAAAAAAAAGAAAUUGAUUUGAGAUUAAAGGUGCUGACAUUUUUGUCGACUUGAAAAGUGUAGAUUCGAGAAUCAAGAGUCUUGAUAUUGAGAUGAAGAGUUGAAUCUUGUUGUUCAGAAACAAUGGUGCCGGUGCUGGAGCUGCCUUCGCCUUCAUUUGAAGAUUGGCUCGCCAUGGUGUGUUGUGCUGUUCAGCUGCAAAGUCUAUUUGUUUAUGCAGUAAUAAAAAACACAAACAAACCUAACAGCAUGAUUGUAUUGUAUUGUAUUGUAUUGGGAAAAAAAACCUAUUCUACAAAAAUAAUUCGUCGUCGGGGGUAAAGAGAUUCUGAAAUACCUAUCGAUAGAGAUUUCGAAGAGGAAGAAAACACAGUGUGUUGUGUUAUAAUAACUAAGAUCGAUCUGUUCUGUUCUGGGAAGAUUCUAGAGUGUUCGCUAACCUUUCACAAAAGAUGAAUCAAUCAACAAUAACAAGAGUCGAUGAUGAUCAUUUCCAAACACUUUAAAAAAUAUCAUUAAAGAGGGUAAGAGACAACAUGUCUUUUUUUUCUUUUUUUUUUUUUUUUUUUUAGAGUCGUCAACAAGUCAUUGUCGAACCAGGCUCACUGCCGUGGGUGUGUGUGUGUGUCAGGCCCAAUUCACUUAAGUCCACCACAAUUUCUACCCACACUCUCCUUCCUACCAUCAUACUAUGAAAUUAAAUAUUCCAUACUUUUAUUUAUUAUUCAAUUCUAAUAUUUUCUUUUACCCUUUUGACUCAAAUAUAUAUAUAUAUAUAUAUAUAUAUAUAUAUAUAUAUAUAUAUAUAUAUAUAUAUAUAUAUAUAUGUAUCCUCCCUCUCUAUUUUGUAGUAUAAUUUUUUAAUAUAGAACAUUCACAAACAUUUCAUAACUAAAAAAUUAAAAUAAAACUUUUUCAGAAUUUGAUGAUUGUAAUUCCUAUAUGAAGUUAUUAGCUAUUUUAAAAAAAUUUAGUGAUUCCUCAAUUUUGAACUUGGGGGUUACAUGUUUAGAAGUUGUUUUCUUCACAAAUUUUGUGUUAGGCUGGAAGGAACGAGAGUUUAACUGCUUGUGACACAGUGGCAUAUUUGUUGAUGACUGCACUAUAAGAUUUGAAGAGAUGAUAAAGGAUAAUUUGUGGUACGAUGGAGGAUCCAUUAUGGUAGACAUGGACAUCAUCUUGAUGCAGAUAGAAAACGAGGUAUGUCACAAUUAUCAUUGAGAUUAUGCUUAUGCGGUGGACCCCAUUUAUCCAAUGAAUGCCCUAUGAGAGUUGCGAGAGCUUGUUUCCUGAAAAAACAAUAUUAAAAAUUUGCUAAAAGAAAGAAUAAGCUCUAAUAGUAAUGACCAUUAAGAUGAUUAAGUCGUUAACUUUCAUGUGGCUGAAGGGGAAAUACGUCAAUCUUCCCUUCAAUUAUCAUGGUUGGUGACUUAGUCCAUUUACCUUUUCAGACAUUGGUUUUGUUAGUUUCUUUCGUUUUUGUCCGCUUUUGCGGUUUGGCUUUGCCUUGUAAAUAUAGUCUUGACACUCUUUGAAUUUUGGUGUUUCUUCCUUAGCACAUCUUAUGUCAGGAAGGCCUUUUUGAUGUGGUAAUACAAUUUUAUUUUAGCCUCUUCAAAAAAAAAUUAUUAAGUGAUUAAUCUAUUGAUCUUUUUUUUUUGAGCAAAUUAAUCCAUUGGUCUAAAGAGAUAAACAUAAUAUAUCACAAUACACAUAAGAGACCUUUUAUUAAUAAUUUUUAUUUGAAGAAUUGUGGCUUGCAUAAUAUAUUAUGUUAGAAAAUAAUGUUAUUGUACUUCUAAUCAGCAAAUCAUUUUAUCAGCUGCAUGUUGGUAUUUUUAAGAUUUUUCUCGUACUUCAAUUUUUGUUUAGAUGGGUCAAAAAUCGUAUUAGUCCAUUUUGCAUGUUUUUUUAAUGGUAAAUGUAAGUAAUUAAUUUUUUUUAAUGUAAGUAAUUAAUUGUUAGAUUAGUUUUUUAUCCUUCCUUUGAGUUUGAAUCUAAAACCUUUAAAAAAAAAAUUGACAAAAAACCUUUAAAUUUUUAUCCCUUAAUUCAAUCUAGUUGUUUUCGUACAUUAUGCAACCAUUGUCAUAUUUUGUUUGAACUUAUAUGUUAUCAAGAAUAACGUCACUUUGUUAAAAAAAAAAAAAAAAAAGAAUAACGUCACUGCACAAUUUGAAUUAGUGACUUUAAGAAAUAAGUUUACAGAACUGCUAAAUACUAAAUAGUACGAUAUAUUGUCAUACGAAAAUUCAUGGAUGCAUGAAAUUCUGCUUUCCACACGCGCACCAGUUUUUAAAUUUUAUUUUAUUAUUUUAAAAACACUAAAUUAAAUCUAUAUUAUAUAUCUAUACUAUAUAUCAAGAAAACUACCCCUUUCGGCACAUUUUUGGGUUAGAAUUUUCUUUCCAAAAAUACCCUUAAUUUUUUAUUUUAAUUUUAAAUACAAAUAACACAUGUAACAUAUAGAUAAGAAUAAAUUUGCCAAAAUUUAAUUUAAGGAGAAAACAUGCGCACAAUUCCUUAUGAAUUGUUCUUACUACUAGCCAAUUAUAAAAUAACACGUGGAUUACUAAUCCAUGUCAAUGAUCGUCCCUGUUAACCCUCUUUUAUCGGCGAUUUUAUUUUGUACAUCUAUGUUGUUCCCCUCAAUACAACCGACAAAGAUUGUCAAGUAUUUUCAUAUCCCUUCCACAAAAAAAAAAAAGUAUUUUCAUAUUAUUUUAUUAAUAUAAGUUACUCUUCCAUAGCCUUUGAUCAAUUGUAACAAACGUAAACAAAAAAUAAUUGUGAAGAUUGGACUUUAAAUCCUCUAAAAAAAUAUUAGUAACAAACUUGAGCAAAAAAUAAUGUUAAAGAUUGAACUUUAAAUCCUCUAAAAAAAAGAUUAGUAACAAACGUGAGCGAAAAAUAUUGUUAAAGAUUUGACUUUAAAUCCUCUAAAAAAAGAUUAGUAAAAAAACGUGACCAAAAAAUAAUGUUAAAGAUUGGACUUUAAAUCCUCUAAAAAUAAAAUAUUAGUAACAAACCUCAGAAAAAAUAAUAAUGUUAAAGAUUAGAGUUUAAAUACUCUACAAAAAUAUUAGUAACAAACGUGAGCAAAAAAUAAUGUUAAAGAUUUGACUUUAAAUCUUCUUAUAAAAAGAUUUGUAACAAAUGUGAGCAAAAUAUAAUGUUAAAGAUUAAAGUUUAAAUCCUCCAAAAACAAGAUUAGUAACAAACGUGAACAAAAAAUAAUGUGAAAGAUUGGACUUUAAAUCCUCUAAAAAAAAUAUUAGGAUUCAAAAUAUUUUAGAAAAAAUUUUUUUAGCACUAUAUUAAAUAUUAAUAAGUAGGGUUCUCACAGUUAAUAGUUCGUUCCCGCAUUGUUUUGUUUUUCUUAACCUCUCUCAACCCUCUGCAUCAGAAUUCAGAAUUAACCUGUUUAAUUUUUUUCUUUUUCUUUCAUGUUAAAACUAAUCAAAGUCGAUUAAUUUUAUGGAUUAUAUAUUUAACUUUGUUGGUUUAUAAGUGAUUAUGAUUCAAAUUGUUUACGAUUAAUUUUAAAAAUUAUUUGACUUUACUGGUUUAUAAUUUCUUAUACAAACUAUGAUAGCGUGAUUUUUUUUUAUAUAAAGAGAACCGUGGUUUUUUUAAUUAUUAAAUAAAGGUAAAAUAAGAAAUAACAUCCCCUGCCGUUAAGCUCCUUCCACUGUCGUUUAAAGGAAUAAAAGCAUUGUUUUUUUUUCUUUGUGAUUCCAAAUGUUCGACAUGUAUACAAUUGAUAAAUUGCUCUCGUGGCCUCCAUCGAAUAUCCAACAAAAUAUAAUGAAAUCAAAGUGUUAAAACCAUUUAAACAAUUCAAAAUUGUUAAACGAUAAUCAUACUCAUGUUACCAACAACUAAAAACAGAAACACUAGAAAGCUUCAAACUACCAUCUUUUGUUUAUGGUUAUAUUUAACCACCAUCUAAUAGGCCAUAAAAAGAGAGGACCUCUAAGAAGUUUGGAUGCAAACACCGACACCCGAUACAACACGGGUACGAUAGUGCCCGUCUUUCCGCUAGUAUAAAAUAACACAACUCUAAUAAGACCCACUAUCACGCACACCACUCCCGCUGCUUACGGUUUCUAUUUUCCCUUAUCAGAUCUAUUAGGGUGCGUUUGGAUUGAGGGUUUAGGAGGGGAGGGUUUACUUUUCUUUUUUAAAUUACAAACUAUAUAACAUGUUUUUUUUAAAUAAAUUAAGUGUGAUUGAAGUAUUAUAUGAUCGUUUACCAUGUUAAUAUGUUAACUUUUUAAAAAAUAUUUCAUAGUGUCCGUAAUUUAAAAAUGAAAAGUAAACUUUCACCUCCCUUCCCCUCCUAAACUCUUCAUCCAAACACAUCCUUAGGCCACGUUUGGACAAGAAGAGAAGGUGAAAGGAAACAGUGGCGGAGCCCUUCAUGGGCUGGGGUGGGCCACGGCCCACCCGAAAAAAUUAAAAAAUCAACGAUUAUAGGUCUAUUUUGCGAGAUUUUAUGCAAUUUUGUGUCGAUUUUAUGUUCUGGUUGAUCCAAAUUCUUGCAAAGUGGUGUAGUGGCCCACCUGAAAAUUUAAAUAAUUCAAUUAUAGGUCUAUUUUGCGAGAUUUUAAUUUUAUACAAUUUUCUGUCGGUUUUAGGUUUCGGUUGAUCCCAAUUCCCGCAAAUUGGUGCAGUGGUCCACCCGAAAAAUUUAAAUAAUUCAAUUAUAGAUCUAAUUUGCGAAACUUUAUACAAUUUUUCAAAAGUUAAUUUUAGUGGCCCACCCUGACAUUUUUUUCUGGUUCCGCCGCUGAAAGGAAAGAAAGUAAAAGGAAAGGUUGUUAAUAAAGGAUUGAAAGUGGGUAGAAAGUGUGUAGAAAGGGUGAUGAUUCUUUAUUGUUUGGUUUGAGAGAUAGUGGGAGAAAAGAAAGCCUUGAUUGACUAGUGAAUGACUUAACUACCCUUCUGUAAACUAAUUUAUUUAAAAAUAAAUAUAAAAAUAUGUUUACAAUGCAAUAUUAAAUAUAUAUAUUAUUUUUUUGAACCCAAAUAUAUGUUUCUAUUUAUAUUUUUAUAUUGUAUAUAUUUACCUUAAUAAUAUAAUAAAAAUACAAUAUUAUAUUAAAUGCAAAACAAAUAAAGAAAUGUUAUGGAGGUACAAAUCAGAACACCCAAAGCAUGGAUGCUUUAGGCAUUUCAGUAGUGUUUUCCUUGCAUAAAUGAGUAGAAAGUUUUCUAGGCGUGGGUCCCACAAAAACCAUGCAUUCUUUUCACUCUGACAUGGAACCAAACAAUGAAAGCCCAGAUUUCAAGAAACUUUCUAUCCUCUUUACCUUCCAUCCUCUCUCUUUCCCCGGAAACAAACAGACCAUUAGAGUUUGAUCUCACAUUUCAUUACACUUGCACUACCUCUGUUUCUGCUUACCAUCACAGUUGGCACCGAUUCAUAGUUACAAGUAAGUAUUUGGUUAUUUAUUGUUUUUCUAUAUCAGAAGUAGAAGAAAUGAUUUUUCCAAUUAAUCGAUAUUCCAUUUGUUUGCAUUAGUCGAUUAAUAUAUGAAUAUUUUUUUUUUAAUUUGUUGCAUUAGUGCAAGAACAGUCUGAGUCUUGUGAUGAACUAGAAACAAAUGUAGAACAAAAAUUUAGUACUCUCUACAGUAAUAUUUAAAUUACAUUCGUCAAUCAAUUUGCAUAGCUACCAAACUACUGCACAAGAGAUUCUUCAAGUAGCCUGAAUUGUAGUUUUCUGAAUCCUUUAUAUAUCUGCUCAUAACAGUGGAACUUAGCAUUACAAAUGAUUUUAAAGAUGCCACUCGUAGUUUUGAUUUAACUUUACACCUGUGGUUUUCUGAGAUGCAGAUGCAAUAACUAAGCCAUUGAAGACAGAGACAUUUGAGAGGCUUAGAAGAAUGAUGGGCAUGGUUGAUUCAACAAACAUGAAUUAAGGAAGAGUGUUGAAUUGUGUUAAUUCAGUUAAGUUUGUAAGAAGUUAGUUUAGCUUGCCAAUAAAACAGUUAGGGUUUGUUAUAUGCAUUGCUUGCGUGUUAAGCAAUCUAUUGUAACAAAACCAUGUCUAUAAGUGGUUUAUAUGUUGUAUGCAUUUUAUAACAGAAAUUGAGAAAGCAAUAAUACUGCUCUCAUUAUUCUCAAACUUUUAAUCUCUUAAUAUCAAUCUCUUCUUCUCUACCUUUUCAUUCUCUCAAAAUCAACACAAAAUCACACUCUGUUCCAACAGAGUUGAGACAUUGGGAAUUGCAAAUGGCAUUGUCACAUGAUAUAUUAGCUUCAUGCCUAAACUUUAGUUAAUUAAACCUUAGCAUUCUAGUACUUGACUCAAAUUAAGUGCUAGAUGCCAUUGGAGGAAUUCUACUUAUGCUUAUCGAGACGCGCUUCUUAAGCCAAAAGAAGAGCAUCAAUUUUAACAAUAUUAAACGGCUUCCUCUCUUGUGUGCAACUUAAGUGCUUUCUCUUUCACUUGUGGUUAACAAUAGAGACCGAUUCCAAACAAUUUAAAAAUGUGAGACCCAAAAAAUGAUAUUUGUUUGAACUUCAAGUAUAUUCAAGAUAUCAUUGUUCAUACUUAUUAUGAGUAUAUUUUUCAAAGAAACCAAGACCACAACAUUUUUAUUCUCAAUAAGGGAAGCAGGAAGCACUCAGCAAUAUUUACAAAUAGACAAUUUUGUGACAAAACAAAUAGAUGGUUGAAAGUAUUCGCCAUUUAACCAAAUUCAAUGGAAAACUAUCAUUUAAAAAGUUCAACUGAGUUCAGAGUUUAGACGUAGCUAGCUUGAUAAGAUCCUUCCGAAGAAUUUUACCAGAUGGAUUUUUGGGUAUGGAAGAUAUAAAUGCCACUUUUCGAAUUCUUUUGUAUGGAGCCACCUAUAUAUUGAAAAAAAUAAUAAUUUAGUUUUCAAUCUCAUAGUUGAAAUCAAAACCCAAGCAUCUAAUAAAGAGUGUCAUUGUUGAGAAAUGUUUCAAACAAACAAACCUGCUCUGCAACAAAAUCCAUAACUUGGCUUCCGGACAAGUUACUUCCCACAUUCCUUACCACAUAUGCCAUUGGAACCUGCCCAGCCUCCUUAUCUGGAUACCUGAUAAUAUAUCACAUAUACAUACAAAAACAUUCAAUGGUCUUGAUAACAAGGAAUCAGAACUGGUUUUCCUCAUCAACCAAAAAAACAAUAAGGAAUCAGAAUUGGUAAAUGAAAGGCUUACGGUAUGACAGCAGCAUCUAAAAUAGCAGGAUGAGUAAGCAACAAAGCCUCUAGUUCUGCUGGAGGGACCUGUAACAUCAACCAAAAAACAAAGCCAAGAGAACUUCCAUGAGAUUGACAAUAUUUAUCUUCUUAAUCUUCACUAAUUGUGUGUCAGUAAACAAUAAUAUAUCUUCAGGUUAUUUAGUUGAAAUGAUCGAAACGUGGUUGUGAAUACUACAUUAGAUUAAAUAGAAUUGUUGAUAAUAACCUGAUAUCCCUUGUACUUAAUGAGCUCUUUCAAACGAUCGACGACAAAUAAGAAUCCAUCGCUAUCAAUAUAGCAAACAUCCCCUGUUUUUAACCAACCCUCUGGAGUAAUGGUCGAUCUGGUUGCCUCCUCGUUACUGAAAUAACCUGCCAUCACCAACCAUGUCUUACAAUUUAAUUAAAAUUGAAACAACAACAAUCAUGAUUAUUAGCGUACAUAAUAGAACCAAAAAUUAUGUGAGCUUAUAUCUAAUACCAGCAACUAAUUAAGGCUCACCAUUGUCACCAAGCUUUUUCCUUUUCAUCUAUUAUUUUAGUUAGUGUUAUAAACACCUUGGAGAGUCAUGCACGUUUAAUGAAUGGUUACUUCUUCUUUUUUUCAGUAAACAUUUUUUUUAAUUUUUUAAUUUAAAGACGGAAAGUCCACAAGUCCGAAAUCAAAUGGCAAAAUGUCAUAAUUGUGAGGGAGGACAUUGGGGUAGCAUCUAUUUGUGAGUUUGUAAUUACCGUUUUGUCAUUUAUCUUAUCUACCAAAAAAGAACUAUACACAUAAGUAUUCUAAAAAAUGUGUAUAUAACCAAUAUUAUUAAAUUCCACAUGUUCUAAUUCCCAUUCUCAUCAACUAACAAAUAUAUAAAACUCUGGAUUGCUAAACAAGUUUCCGGGUCUACCUCGUGAUCAAUAUUUUAAUUAAUUAAUUAAAAAAACAAAAUAUUAUAGCAUAUAAACUCGUGGAUCCAUCUGGAUUUUUGUCUUUCCAAUCUAAUCUACUAGUAAUUGUUUAUUCAAAGAGCGAUCUUCAGGAUCAAAAACAUGACAAUUAGAAACAAAACGACGACAUUUGAAAAAUAAAGAAAUCAAAUUUGGAAAGAAACGAACCUUUCAUAGUGGUGGGACCACGAAGCCAAAGCUCACCCGUCCGAUUAACGGGCAACGGCUGAGCAGUCUCAGUGUCAACAAUCAUAGCCUCCGUGGAAGCAGACACAAGCCCCGCCGUACCAUACUUACGACUCUCUUCCAAAGACUCGGUAGAAGCUCCAAUUCCAGAGGAUUCAGUUAAACCAUAACCUUGAAAGAUACUUACAUUAGGGUACUUUUCAAUAAACCCUUCCGUUACUUCUUUACUCAAAGGAGCACCACCAGAAACCACCGUAUGAAGCGAACUCAAAUCAUACUUUCUCUUAAUAGCAUCUGCGUUGUUCAGCAUAGCAACCAAUAUCGGGGGCACAAGAGGUAAGAAGGUUGCUCUGAAUUUUUCAAUCGAUGAAAGCAUGUCGUGCAUCUCGAAUUUAGAGAGAACAACUAUGGUUGAACCCAUAGCAAGAAGCCCCAUAGCAAACACCGCAAGACCGUAUAUAUGAAACAUCGGAACAGUACAUAUGAAAGUUUCUCUUGUCUCUUGUUCUUUACCGAACCUAGCCAUUACAACUUGAACCAUCGCUAUUAGAUUCUUGUGGGAAGAUACUACUCCUUUGCUUGGUCCUGUUGUUCCUGAUGAGUAGAGUAAUGUGGCUGUGUCAUUCUGGUUGACGCGCUCAGUCACUCUACUCAACUCAGGUUCUUUCUUCAUCAUUUCAUCCAGUGUUGUUGUUGUUGUUGAAGAUGAUGAUGAGUUGUUGUUGUUGUUGUUGGUGUCCAUGAGAAUGAUUGGAAGUGAAGGUGAUGCUUGGGUGAUUUUGGAAAGGAGUUGUUGAGUAGUGAAAGCAAGAACAGGUUUGGAAUCAGCAAUCUGUUUAGCAAUUUCACCAGAUGUAUUGAGAGGAUUGGUGGUGGUGAUGAUAGCGCCGAGGGACAUGACGGAGAGACAGACAACAGGGAAAUAGAUGGAGUUGGGAGAGAGGAGAAGGAUGACGUCACCUUUACGGAUACCCAUGUUGGAGAGUGAGGAGGUGACGGAGUCGACGGAUCGCCAGAGUUGUUGGUAAGUGAAUUGGUGGCCGGUGGAGGCGUCAAUGAAGGCGAUAUGGCCGUGAUGAGCGCGGGAGGAGAUGAAAGUGGUGGCAUCUAAAGAGUGGUUAGGUGGAAGUGGAAGGGGCUUUCUCUUGCUGUAGAAGAUUGAAUUGCUGCUGCAAAACCCACUUCUUGGAUCGAUCACUCUUCUGCUAUCCCUAUUCUCACCGUUUACCUCCAUCUUAAUCUUAAUCUUGUUUUGUGUAGUAUCAAACUGAUAUGCUAGUGUAGCUAAAUGUGUUAUUUGUACCGUCCAAUAUCAUCAUUUAUUCACUCACAUGUGAACUUUUUCUCUUUUGACUCCAACCUCAUUCGUCCAAACAAAUAAUAAUGAUUCACUUUUAAAAAGGCAGAGAAAACAAAAAAAUACAGAACAUAAACGUGCACUUUGACUGUUGCAGAACUGGUCCAAUGACAUGCAUGCAGUGGACGGUAGGAGUCUUCACCAUUUUUUAUUGGCUUAACUGCACUUUUGGACCCCUAUUUUUCUAAAAGUUGUGGUUAUGGACCUCUAACUAAUUUAAAUACAAAACAGCCCCCUAUGUUUUGAUUCUUUGACAGUUUUGGACCACCAAGGCAAAAAAAAAAAUAAAAAAUUGACACGUGGUAUCCACGUCAGCGUUGACCGAGUCAACAAUGGACUGAGGGUCCAAAACUGCCAAAGAAUCAAAACAUAUGGGGCUGUUUUGUAUUUAAAUUAGUUAGGGGUCCAUAACCGCAACUUUUAGAAAGAUAGGGGUCCAAAAGUGCAAUUAAACCUUUUUUAUUUCUAUAAAUAUAUUAACUUCUCCUUUUAAUCUUUUUAAAUUAUCCUUCGAUAUUUACUCCUAUCAAAUUUUCAAUCCCCUAUGUCUUUAUUUUUAAGUCAACACAUGUGUAUACUUUGUAUUUUUCAAUGAAAUUAUGUGUAAAAUAUUUUAAAAAUGUCUUCUAAAAACAUAGAAUUUUUUAACAAAACAUGAAUUUUUAUAUUUUAGCGGUUAAAAAUUAAUAUUUAAUUCUUAUUUUGUUAAAAAAAACUAAAUUUUUUUGAGAUAUUUUUAUAAUAUUAUAAACAUUUAUGCAAAAUUUUAUUCGAAAAUAUGAAUUUUACAUGAGUUUGCUUAAAAGGAGGUAUCAUAAGUGAAGAUGGAAAACAUUUAAGGUAUUAAAAGUCGAAGAAAAUUUUGAUGGGGACUAGAAGUCGAAGAAAAAUUGUAUAUGGAUUAAAACGAAAAGUUGGUAUAUUUAUACAGAUCUAAAACAUAUUUAACAUUUUCUUUAACAACAUAUCUCUAGAGAAAUUUUAUUGUCUAGUCGAAGAUAGAAAACAAUAUAUUAAAGGAAGUAUUGUUGUUUAGGGGAGACGAUAUUCCAAAGUUGAGAAGCUUCGUUUCAAUGUGAGUGUUUUAGCCAGAAAAAUAUUUGGUUAAAAAUGGAAAGUUGACCCUUAAGCUAAGAGUCAUAUAUACAGGUGAACUUUUAUGGUGUAGAAACCAGAUGUCUCCUUGGUCAGACGACUCCAUUGGUUUUGUGUGUUAUAUCUUCUUAUUUUUCGUAUAUAAUUACUUGUUUUAUUCUUAUUCUACGUGGAAUUUUUUUACAGUUGAUCUCGCAAGGAAGUACAAGUAAUAAUUGGGUGGUUAAAGUUUGAUCGCUCCUCUGCAACAUUCUCAAUCAAUUUUUAUUUUUGCAGGAUUAAGACGAUAAAUCGUUGAUGAUGGCUACUCUCAUUCACUGUUGUCCCUCGUUCAACCAACGUCGACCCACAAUUCAUAUGUUAUUAUACUCUUCUUGUUCUUCUAAUAACUCGCAUAAAGCAAUCAAUUUGACCAUGUGCUUAAGCCUUAAUACACAUACACAACAAGAAGCAAUUCAUGUUUGAUUUUCAUUUGAUUCUUUGUUUUACAUUUGUAAUUUUGAUAUAGUUUGCAUAGUUUAUAUUUUGUUUUAUGGAUUUUUGUGUUUUCCCAUAAUAUUCGUGUCUUACGCCGUUCAAUAUGAAUGUCGAAGGCGGCGCUCAGGACGCUGACAUGGGCGACAAUGGAGACCAGCAGGACGACGAUGGAGGGAAGCAGUUGGUGGAGCAUUGGGUUGUGGUCAAGAGACGAGCCAUGAUUCGGGCAAUAAUAAAUAGACACAUAUUAUGAUCUAAAGCGUAAGAUUGAUCCGAUGGGCAAUAAUAAACCAAAGUCAUGUGACUUUCCUGCAAAAAAAGUCAUGGAAUUCAAUCUGUUCUCAUUGAUUUUGGUGUUGGGUGUAACAGCCUGAUUUUCGUUAGAUUUAUUUUUAAUUGUUUUAAUGUGUUUAUAUGUGCUUGUGUGUGAAUUUUAUCAUCAGGUGCAUUUUCAUGGGUUUCCGUGCUAGAGGGGUAAAUUAGUAAUUUAUAGUGGGGAUUAUUUUUAGUGUUUUAGUGAGAACCAUUAUUUUUUUACUAAGUUACUGGUGUGAUAAAUAGUUGUGAACCGGUAAGUGACCGUUGUUAGUAUUUUACCGUUAAGUGUAGAAACAUUUUAGAAUUGUGAUUUGGUGGGUUAAGCCCACUAAGGCAUUAGGGUUGAGCCCAUUUGAGAAUAGCAUAUAUAAACCUUGUCUUAAGAGAAAAUAGCAUUCAUUUUUCAUUUCACAAGAUUUUUAGAGAGAGGUAGAGAGAGAAAGUGCAAGAGAAGAGGAGAAGGGUUAGAAGAGAAGACCUAAGAGGUGGUGAAGAUUCUAGGAGUUAAAGUGAAGCUUGGGCUAGGAUUUGUGCUAACUAAGGUAAGGGAGUUAGAAUUCAAUCAUAAUCAAUUAGUUGUAAUUUUUCAUUAAUUGCAUGAUUAAGUGCUUAGUUGAAUAAUUGAUUAUUCGUUCAUGGUUGUUGAAAUUCGUGCUUUGAUUAUGAUGAUAUGUUUGAAUGCAUGAAAUUAGUGAUAAUUGAAUUGUUGUUGGUGAAAUUGCAUGUUCAUAGUAUGUGAAAAUGUUAUAUUGUGAAUUGUGCUUAAAUUGUUGAAAUGUCUUAUGUUGUUGUUGAAUUAUGAUGAGAAUCAUGUUUAAUUGAUGUUGUUGUUGUUAAGGAAUAUUGUUGUUGAUGAUUCAUGGCUUGGGUGUUCAUAAAUAAUGAUUUGAUGAUGUGAAAUAAGUUGUUGUUGUUGGUUUGUAAAAAUGGGUUGAUUUGGUGAAUUAUGUUCAAUUGACAAUUGUUUUCAUGUUUGAUGUGUUCUUGGGAACCCUUUUAGUUGUUUCGACCUGUAAACAAACUUUGGAAACAUAUUUGGGCAUUGGGAGAUCAAAAUUGAGAAUUUUUUGUGAAAAUGGGUUGAAACCCGUAAUAUUUUUUCUGCAGAAUUAUGACUGUUCGCUUAAGCGAACAAUAAGCGUACGAGUAAGCGAACAAUCACAGUAGGUUCUAUGACUGGCUCGCUUGAGCGAACCAGAAGCGAAUAGCUAAGCGAACUUUUGUUGUAGCUUCUGGAACUUGUUCGCUUAAGUGAACAAGGUGGUCGCUUAAGCGAACGUGCCAGUUUCAGCAACCUUUGAUUUUCGUUCUGGGUCUUAGAGGGCCAAUCCGAGCUUUGUAUAAUACUUAUUUCAACUUGUUUAACCUAUGUUUGAACUCCUAAACUUACUGGAACAUGUUUUACUCAUUCAAACUUGAGAUUUUUCAUUUUGGGUUGAAACUUGAAUAUUUUUGGGAAUUUUGGAUUUUUGUCGAAAUGAACUUUUGUGAACUACAUGAGAUUACAAAUUUAACCUACAGUUCAUAUAGACUUAGGUAAGACUUGUAAAGUUGGUCAAACAUCUUAAUCAUGUUAAACUUGAUAUUUCUGGUGGAAAUGUGGAAAUGUGAACUUGAGUUUUCUCAUACGAACUUAAGCUAUACUUUGAACUAAUGUCUAAUAGUUUGUAAAUGGCUUAAGCUUUUGAUUACAUGAUUGUUUAAGAUUAUUUUGCGAGUUUUCAAACUUGAAUAUGUUACCUUGUUUUGGGGAAUUAUCAAUGUUGGCCGUUUGCCACUUGAUAUGGAUUUUAUCGGGAAUGGUUCUUUUAAGCCAAUUAUCUUAUGAUCUUUCGUGACUAGCCUUAUAUGACUAAAUGAAGAUGUGUGAAUGAAUUGUUAUAUGUUGGAUAUGAUAUUUAUCAUAACGUGUUGUAUUUUCUCUUUACUUGGAAUAUGAGAAAUAUUUGGAGCUGUGAAACUAUAUGAUGUAGUUGAUGUUGAAUGUUAUUGAUGAUUAUGGUGAUAAUGUGAUGAUGACUCUUAUUUGAAUUAUGACUUGAAUGUUGUGUGGACGUAAAUAUUUGAUAAUGCAAUUGUUGUGGAGAUGAUCAAUAUAUUUGGAAGUUAUCAUUUAUAUUGUCGUGAAAAUUAUGAGGUGAUUUUGCAUUGCUGAGUCUUUGCUUGUAUGUCCAUGCAUCAUAGUCGUGUUGAUUGUUGAGUAUUGCAGCUGUAAAAGAGAGGUGCUCUUUUACUUCGGUGAUUAUGUAAGACGGAUGUGAAAUCUUACAUACGAUGUUUUUGUUGCAUCGAAGGUGACGACCUUGAGGUGAUUUGGUACUGUUGAGGCAAAAUCCCUAAUUAAUUUUAAGGAUAAUAAACGAAUAUGAUUAAAGAAUUAAUGGACUUUGAUUAAUUCCUUGGUAUUUAACUUGUGCUCUUGAGUGUUUCACUAAGACAGGAGCAAGGUUUAAAUCAUAUCAGGAAUCAAGAAAUCAAAGGACAUUUGAAUUCAUGAUCUAACACUGAGGUCAGAAAGUUAGAUCAAAAUGUUGCUCGAAGAUUAGAAUGUUCAAGCAGAGAUCAGAAGGUUGUUCUUAUACAAGCCAAUAAUCUCAAGAACUUUGAUCAAGGUCAUGCAAGGCAUAUGUGACAUGGAUAUAUGUCCAGGAAAGUACAUUUGCAUGGAUCAAUCAAGCAAUAAAGGCAUAUAUAAGGAUUAUGUAAAAAAAGGAUAUUCAAUGUUAAUUUAAGACCAUGAACAUUGAUGUACUAGGAAUAUUCCACAAGGGAAUAUCAUCCUAGAUGUUAAUAUCACUGCUCUUCAUUGUUGUUUCACUAUUAGGAUUUGAUUACAUCAAAUGGUAGUCUUACAAAUCAUCCUAAGUGAAACAGAUGGAACAUUCUGAUGGUCAGAAUGUUCAGCUCAACACAUGCUUACUUUAUGAACAGUACAGUAGGUGAAAGGCAAAAAGCAAAAGCAAAACAAAUAUGUCUUGUUCAACAAGAGAUAGACACGCAUGUGAGUUGCUACAGUACAAGGACCACACAAUCCCUCAAAGCAUGGGCAUGAAGAUGCAGAAUCCCAAUAUAUCUUUCUUGCACCGGUCCCAAGGCAGAUCUGGGAAAGUAACUUUAUGAUGUAUGUGGAAAAACCCAUAUUUUGGUUAUUGCCCAGAAACUCAUAUGAAAAGCAUAUGACACGCCCAGAAAUUCAUGUGUUCAUUCAUACAUGAUGAACCCAGAUGAAGAUCAUGAUGAACCCAAAUGAAGAUCAUCAUGAACACAACAACAUUCUGAAGUUCAUCAGUGAUCAUAAUGUUUGCCCAAAAUUUCAAGUAAAAGCUUGUGGGACCCAGGACACAUGACAUAACACUAUUGGACACCCUACAACAACUAUAUGAGCCCAAAGACUAUGUAAAUAGAGAUCAUGGCCUUAGCAAAACUUGGACCAUUACAAAGCAUACAAGAAAACAACUGAAAUUGUUUGAAGCUCUUGCAAUUUGAAUUGAUCAUCAUUGAAGGCUCUUUUUACCUUCUUUGUAGUGUAAAUCAAUUCUCUUCUUGUUAUCUCUCUUAAAGAUAACUUCUUCUUCCUCCUCUUCUGUUUGAUUUUCAAACAUUCAAACCUCUUACAAAUUGUAAACAAAAUCUCAUCUAGCUUUAGGGGUACUAAAGUGUUAGUUUGAGAAAAGGUUGUAAACGUCUAAGUAGUUAACUUAGCAACAAGGUGCAAGUCUGCUGAUGCUUAGAGAAUACAGAGUUGUAAUUGUUCAGGUGAACAAAGAUUGUAAGGUGCAGGAUUUGAGAUGUUAUCUCAAGCAUCGUAGUGGAAACUCUCACAAUCUUGUGAGGAGUGGACUAACCCACAUUGGGGGAACCUCUAUAAAUCUCUGUGUGUUUAUUAAACUGUUUUUGUGUAUGAACUUCAGAACAUUCUGAAGUCAGAAUAUUAACUUAACAAUUCCAAGUAAACUACUUGAGAAUCACUUUUAAGUUUCAUGAUAAUUUUUAAAGGGUCACAAUUCAAAUCCCCAUUCCUUGUGACUAUUUUAUCUACUUCAGGUACCACAUGCAUAUAUGUGUCGAACUAGGUGCAUAUCAUGUUGACAUGAUUCGAUAAUUACGAUCCAUUCGUUGAUUUCGAUAUUUUUUUUGUUUGUAAAUAAACGAAUGGAUCGUAAUUAUCGAAAACUCACAUUCACUAAUGGUUUAGUCAGGUUGUGAACGCCAGACGCGAUAUUUAUUUUUUGACAUUUGUUUAAGUUGAGUUAUGACUUGUGUAACGUCCCGGAUUUUAAUCCAUGACAUUACUAAAAAAAAAAUAUUACUCUUUUAAAAAGAAAAUUAUUUUCAAAAAAAAAAAAGUAUGCAUUUACUAAAUUGCUUUUUAAUAAAACAACUUAAACAAUGUUCUUGAAAAUAAAAUAAAAUUUAAAGGUACGGAUAUUCAUUUAUUUCUUUAUGGAAUACAAAUCAACUUUAUAAUACACCUAAAAAUAUUUUGAAUAAUAAAUACCAAUAUAAAACCCAUUUUGGUCCCCGCGCAACGCUUCAAUCACACAUCAACUUCAUAUUUCAAUCUUUGAUACCUACACCAUUUUAUUAAUGUAAGGGUCAAUUUUCGAUUCCACAUGGGAUCACCUAAACACAGAAAAAUGUCAUAAAAUAAUAAUAAAAGUAAUCAUCACUAAAAAGGAUUAGAAAGUAUCAAAAGAAUAAAGUACCAAAACUCUUUUGUAAAUGUUUAUGCAUGAAGUGCAUGAUAUGCAGGACUCAAAUGAUCCGGAUAUUGUCGUGUUAACGCACACAGUCACGACUAAAAAUGAAACACUCAAUGGUUCCUGCAAGGCCCGCCACCCAAUGACAUUAGCCCAAUAAAACUAGACCACUAAAUGGUCUCUGCAAGGCCGUAGCCCAAUAAAACUAGACCAUUGAAUGGUCUCUGCAAGACCGUAGCCCAAAGACUUCAUGAAAUGUUAUGCGACUCAUUGUCACCAACAAAAUAUCCAAAAAUAAAACCAUGAAAUGCAACCAACCAACCUCUAAUAUUUUAUGAACCACAAAUCAUUUUUAGAAUCAUAUAUAGUUAUCAACAUGUCAAAUCUAAUAAACAAAUUCUCAUAACCAUCAACACAAUAUUCAAUCAAAAUUAUAUAAAAUCAUUGAAUAGAAUAAAACAUAGAAAAACUAAGUCUUUUUAAUGGAUAAGAAUUCUACUACUAUUUCACAACAUUUAUCCGGCCUAAAAUGAUGGUGUGGGGGAAAAAACCCUUACCUUAGAUGCUUUCUUUCGUAAGGAUAAACUAUCAUAGCCUUAAGAGUUGCUAGGGACGUUGGUGGCGUGAAUGAAAUUGUAAGAGAAAUUUAACAUAACAAGGAUAUGUUAAUGAUGAGGGCGUGAGGCAGAUGAUUAUGUGUACAAAAAAAUAUGUGGCUUUAUGGUAGACAAAGGUGAGGCAUCUAAGACUUGUUCUCGGCAGUAAAUUUAUGGUAGCAAGAUAUCUCCUUGGGAAAUGAGAGUAAGGAGAAUCAAUGUAAAUUAAAUUAGUGCUUGUUGUAUCAAGAGACAAAACGCAUGACAAAUUAAAACGGAUUGAUUUGGUUCUUUGACUAGUUUAAUUUGUGAUUAGGAAAGAAUAAUAGACAUAAAUGUGAACCAAAUCAAUUUUAGUAUUAGUCCUAAUACCCUCUAAAUAGGAGUUGACGUGGGCACAAUUUUGAGAAGGCAAGGAUGUAUGUAUAUAGAAGGAAGGUGAUGUAAAAGAGGAGAUAUAAUUGUAUAACAUAUAAUUUAAUAAAAAUUAAAUCGACAUAACAUUGUUCCAAGACCCAAAACAUAUGGCACAUCAAUGAGGGAUUAAAUAUGGUCAAUCGUUAUUUAUUUAGAGUCAAACAAAUGGGACGAUACAGUUCGUUAGACAAAUAUUAUGAUGCAUAAAAAAAUAUCAAAUAAUUAAUAUAGAAUAAAAUAAAUCAAGAACUUACUAAAGGAUAUAAAAUAUUGGGAUGUUACAACUUGUUGACUAACUGUUAUUUAUUUUUUUGGGUCAAGUCGUUGAUUAUUUAUUCUAUCAUAUUCCAUUUGUUUUUGUAAACUUAUUUAUUUCUUAGAAAAUUUUAAAGAGUGUACUUAGAACAUCUGUUAAAGAACCUGACUCUUGCGCACUUGUAUGUGUGAAAUGAGUUUCAAUUGUAGUUUGCCGUUAUCUAAAAAAAACUAGUUGGAUUAUCUUUUUGAAGACGAAAACUAGUUGGAUUUUUAUUAGGCAAAAUUACACAAUUCUUCUCUUAAUUUAAUUUUAGACAACAAUUUCUUCAUUUAUAUUUUUUUGUCUGAAUUUAUGUUAUAAAAAUGUCAACAAAAUUCUCCUAUUUUUAUGAAAAAAGUAAUCAAAAACUAAAAUUAAAAAUCAUCAAACUCAUAAACAAAUCUAAAUUUUUAUCAUGCAAACUAAAAAACUCAGAUUUCAUUAAAAAAAUUUAUAAUAUAAAAGAUUAAAUAAUGCCUUAAAUAAUUGCCUUAUUAUUAUCUCUAAUAUCUAAUGCAAUGCGUAUUUCGAUCGGUUGGAUUAAUCGAACGGUAUGAGUGCGACGGAAUAAAGUACACCGGUAGAGGAAGAAUGCCGGUCUGCCCUGACGACGGACGGGGUGAGCAGGUUUGCAGAAAACAAUUAACGAUUUAUUGAGUAAGUUAAGUUUUGCAAUAGAGCGUUGUUGUUGUUGUUGUUGUUGUCGUCACUGUACUGUGGAAAUAUGCAUAGACACGGACACAGAGCUACUCUUGCUCUCCGCUAUUCAAUUUCAACUUGCAAAUGUCAAAGAAAUCUCACAAUCACAACCACAACCACAGAAGGUAAUUUAAUACUCCUUCAUUCCUUCACUAUUUAUCAUUCAUUCAUUCACUUCAACUUAUGUUUAUUGCUUCUGCGCCAGGAUCUUCUAUGCAAAUGCAAAUGCAAAUUGUGAAGGCACUCCGCUCCGGUGACAGAAUAAAGGCUUCCCACUUACUGCUCCAUUUUGCUAAUACAACCCCCCACUCAUUAUCCGCCAAUCAUUUUCUUCCUAUCUUUAAUUACUGUUUACAAUCUCCUGAUCCACUGGUAUGUAUCUAUUCUAAUCUAAUGCUCACUCAUUCAUUAUCUACCUCCUGCUCUCUCUAUUUUAUUUAUUUCAACAUUUCAAUUCCUGCUGCAGUUUGUUAUGGACGUUUUCAGAUUAAUGGAGUUUAAACAAAUUACCAUAAAUAACAAAUGCUCCUCUCUUAUCAUGCGAGCUCUGAGUAAAGGGGUUUACAAGAAAGAGGCUUUCAGCAUCAUGGAUUUUCUUUCCGAAACUCCGCAAUUCUAUCCACUUCUCCCUAUCUACAAUGGUAUUUUAAGGUCCUGCACUAAAACCCACAAUUUAAUUCAAGCAACAAAAUGUUUGGACUUGAUGGAAAAGAAGAUGAUAGGGAAGAAUGAAGUAACCUAUACUGCGCUUCUCCAGGUGUGCAAUGUGCAUAUUAAAACAUAUAUUACUCUCAACAACACAAAUUUCGUAGCUAAAUUUUGAAAACAACAAAAGGUUUUCUAAAACCAAUGGGUCCUUAUUAUGUCUGAAAGAACUUUCAUGUUUAUCGAAUUUGUGAUUCAAUGUGAAAAUUGCUAAUCACUUGGACCAAGAUGCAUGUUCUUAUUAUUAUUGUUAUUCAUAGGAUGGGAAAUCAUCACUUUGUUAUAUUAUUUGACCGAACCGUCUAUCAGUUUUUCUGCCUUUCUCCUUGGUCUUAAAUAGAGAGAAAGAAAGAAAUCCAGAAAAAAGGAUCUUGUUGGUUCGUUAUUGUUACUUUCUUGUUUUUGUUCUUAUGCCAACAAUCCAUUUGUCCACUGAUAGUGGAUUUAAGACAAGGAAUCAGAAAAUGAAACUUUGUAUUGCCAACUUUUAUGGUUCUUAAAUGCCCUGGAAUCAACUAACAACACCGUGAUUUAUUGCGUUAGCUAUUUUGUGAUAACGUGUUUCUAUGUUUGAAUGUGUUGUCUUUUUAUUUUUAAUGCUUUUUAUGCAACUAGUAUCAUAUGUCUUACCCUGUUUCUCAGCUUGCAGUUUUGCAGAAAAACUUGCCUGCAGUCCAUAUAAUUUGGCAUGAGUAUAUCAAACUUUACAGUAUGAGUACCAUUGCUCUGCGCCAGUUCUUCAAAUCAACAAUUAACAGACAAACUCCCCUGGCCUAAUUAAUACAGUUUGGCCUGCGUAGGUUGUGGGUCCAUAAUUUUUUCUUGUGUGCACGGUGUACACCCUCUAAGUUGGGUCUCGAGUACUAACCGUGUCUCUCAAGGUCAAAGGAAAGUUUUACUGAAUAGCUACAAGACCAGCAGUGCUUUGUAGUACUUGAUGGUGGACAGAAAAUAGCUAGCAAGAACAUACACUAACUGCUAUAGAAAGUAGAAUUUGCCGUGGAUGAGUGAUAUAAAAGCAAAAUAACAUAAUGGAAUGGAUGUGUUUGAGAGAAAGUUGGACUAAUACCUGACAAGGAAAAUGAGUCUUGCCAAAGAUGGUAUGGAUGUUGAGGAGAAGACCGAUAGAGGGCCUGGAUAAGAAGAGUUCAUCAGAUGGAGGAUGGCUUUAUAAACAUAAAUAGAGGAAAAGAAAACACUUAGAUGAGAAACCAUGAAAAAAGAGAUCAAUUCAAAUGUCCGUUUUGGAAACUUGUUUUUUUGGUAGAGCACAAUCACGUGAAUGAAUUGAUCAAGGUUUCUAACCUUACCUUGUAUGAAAAGAAUGUUGUUGUUGUCAUCAUUGUUGGUGUUUAUUAAUGAGAACCAACUAAAAUGCUAUUAUAUAAUGUUUGAGUGCUCGCAAAGCUCACUGGGCUGUGUUGGUUCUUUUCAGUUGAAAUCCCUUGGAGAAGAAGGGAUGAUAAGAGAGAUGAUCCAAUAUUUACAUGUCGCAGAGAAUCUUUUCAUAUAUAGCAACCCUUCAUUGGGAACAGAUAUGUACAACAUCGUGUUGCAUUAUCUUGUUGAAGCCCAAGAAGUAAGUGGCUCAUACAUCAUUACUUCUCUUUUUUGACACCAACUUUGUGAAAUGGGUAUGUUACUAUGCAUGUUUCUGGAAUAUGAUGUUUUCCACUUAAUAUGCAGAGCAACAUGGCAAUUGAAGUUUUCAAGAAGAUGAAGUUGUGUGGCUGCCACCCUGAUUCCACUACAUACAAUACAAUGAUUGACUGUUGUAGUGUUAUAAGAAGUUAUAGAUCUGCUUCUUUGUUGAUUGCAAUGAUGAUACGGGAAGGGUUUUGUCCGGUGGUUUGUACAUAUACUGCUCUCAUUAAGGUUCUUCCUGUUUAAGCACUUAUAGUGCACUCAAAAUUAUUAUCUUUUUGUCAAAGUUUUUGCAGUUCACUUGAUUUAUAUUAAGAGAGUCUAUUGUGCAGGUUUAAGAUUCUAUAGUAGCUUUUGAACUUCUUAAUCCCCUUCCACUAAUCUAGUAGCCUACCUGAAGUGACAAAUGCAUGCAUUUAGUAUUUCAUAUUUCUGAUGGUACAUUACUUGCAUAUUAUUUACUCAAUUUGUGCAGAGUUAGAGGUUUUAAUAAUAAUAGAUAAAAUAUGAUGACAUGUUCCCUCUUCAUGCUCAUAGCAUCCGAUAUUUAAAGCAUUUUAUCUUGUUACUUCAGACAUCUAAGCUGAAGGGAGUUUGAACAUAUAAAAUCCACUAAAUCUUUGUGUUAUGAACCCUUGGAUCGAGUCAUAGGUCCAGGCACGGUAGAAUCUAUCUUUUGACCAAUGGUGAAGGCAAGAAGCAGAUGCGUGUCCUUGACAGUCUCUUUUCAAACUCUCAACUUUUUCUGAGAAAUAAAUCUUGAUUGUUCCAUCCAAUCCAAGGUAGGCUUUUUAAACAGCUUACAGAUAGAAAUGAAUCCUGAUUGAUUAAAAUCAAAACUACUACAGAUAAGUAUUAUAUCAUACCAAAUCUUAUCAAGAUAAAUAAAUCAAAACUACCACUGAUAACUGAUAAGGAUUAUUUUAUGGGAAAUGUUAACUUGUGCCCAAAACUUGAGUAAUAUUUAGACCAAAUCUUAUCAAAACUACUACUACUACUAAUGAAUCAAAUAUAGUAAUAUUUUAUUGGAAUCCGUACAUUGAAUUUAAUUUUUAAAUUUGUAAUAAAUUGAAUGCACAAAACUUAAGUGAAAAUUUCUACUUUUGGGUUCCUUAACACGUGCCUUUAGGACACAAGCUAGCAUGACCCUUAUUUUAUAUAAUCUUAUCAAGAAAAAGAAAGAAUAACUUCAAAUUAAAAAGAGAAACCAAUCCCGACAAUCAAAAUUUAAAAAGGUGAGAAUAGGGAUUGGAGUCAAAAGAGAAAAAGUUCACAUGUGAGUGAAUAAAUGAUGAUAUUGGACGGUACAAAUAACACAUUUAGCUACACUAGCAUAUCAGUUUGAUACUACACAAAACAAGAUUAAGAUUAAGAUGGAGGUAAACGGUGAGAAUAGGGAUAGCAGAAGAGUGAUCGAUCCAAGAAGUGGGUUUUGCAGCAGCAAUUCAAUCUUCUACAGCAAGAGAAAGCCCCUUCCACUUCCACCUAACCACUCUUUAGAUGCCACCACUUUCAUCUCCUCCCGCGCUCAUCACGGCCAUAUCGCCUUCAUUGACGCCUCCACCGGCCACCAAUUCACUUACCAACAACUCUGGCGAUCCGUCGACUCCGUCACCUCCUCACUCUCCAACAUGGGUAUCCGUAAAGGUGACGUCAUCCUUCUCCUCUCUCCCAACUCCAUCUAUUUCCCUGUUGUCUGUCUCUCCGUCAUGUCCCUCGGCGCUAUCAUCACCACCACCAAUCCUCUCAAUACAUCUGGUGAAAUUGCUAAACAGAUUGCUGAUUCCAAACCUGUUCUUGCUUUCACUACUCAACAACAGGUUUGGAAUCANNNNNNNNNNNNNNNNNNNNNNNNNNNNNNNNNNNNNNNNNNNNNNNNNNNNNNNNNNNNNNNNNNNNNNNNNNNNNNNNNNNNNNNNNNNNNNNNNNNNUGAGGCCAUGACCCAUAUGAGGGAGCAGAUCGCGUCGAUUUUGACCAGGAGGAGAGCCCAAAGGCCGAGGAGGAGGCACCAGGAUCAGGACCAGUAGUACUAUUUUCCUUUUUUAUGACUUAUUUUUUAGUUUUAGUCUUUUGAUGACAUUGAGUUAUGUAUAUUUGUAUAUUUGUAUAUUUCUACUUUGAUGACAUUAUUUUUAAUUUCAUGGGCUUUUUUUACUUUGUUUAAUGUACAAAAAUGUUGGUUUAAUUAAGUUGUGCAUUUGCACCAAUAUUUAUUUUUUAUUUGAACUGUUAUGAUGAAUUUUAAAACUUUGUGUAAAAAUACUGUUAGAAUGAUUUUGAAAUGUUUUAUAGAUGAAGAUUUCCUCGGCAGUUAACUACCGAAAUUGUUUAAGUUCAGAUUUCCUCGGCAGUUAACUACCGAGGUUUUCCUCGGCAGUUAACUGCCGCCGGUUUCCUAAAAACUUCGGUAGCAAACUGCCGAAGGGCAUUUUCGUAUUUUACUCGUGUGGCACAGCCAAACAACAUGUGGGAACAGCAAUUCUCACAAUUGUUGCCCUUUGGAUUAAAAUAGUAAACGGUUGACACCUUGUUGACACUAAAACUCAACCAUUCAUUUAAAGUUAAUCAAAGGCUUAUAAUUCUUAUUACAUGGUCUCCAUAAAUUUUCAACUUUCUUUAUGCACCGAAUCAUAAUCACGCUUUAUAUCAAUUUAGUUUCUGAAAAACCAACAAUGAAAUUAGCCGAUCAUGGUAAGGUAACAAAGCCUGAAAUCAUGUGUCCUCACCUAUCUCAGUUAGAACAUCAAAGCCAUGGAUAACUCCUGAAAUUUGUAUAUGCACCGAGGAUUGAUAACAAUUCAAUUGAAUUCAAAGAGUUUUCCAUGUUACUAACACAAUAAAAUUAAUUAUUCUAUAUCAUUAUUUUACAUUUAGAUGUGCAAAUUCAUUCAUGGCUAAUCACCAAAUCGAGAUUGAUACAUGAGAUCCUGGAUUUGAUACCGAAUUAAUCAAGAGGGAAGAGAGAUGCAAACAAGAAACAAUAUUAAUGGAUAGUGGCAGAUGAUAACAAACUUUUUAAAAGAAAUAAAGAGUAUCAAGAUGUGACGAUGUUUCUAAUUUCAUGUUCCUAAUUUCAGUUUUUCAAAAAUAAUAAUUGUAUGCCACUAAGAGGAAGAAUACACAGAUAGUAGAAACAUAUUAACCUUUGAUUAAAUAAAAUGUACAGUUGAGAUUUAGUGUCAACGGAUCUUAUAUAUAUAUAUAUAUAUAGUUUUGCUAGAAGUCACCUAUGAAGGUGUAUUUUAGCAAUCCACACCUCAAGGUGUGAUUUUCACUUUUUAGUUAUAACUUUGCUAAAAAACACCUUCAUAAAAAUUAGUUAGUGUCUUUUAACAAAUGCUAAUAGAAUAACUUACUCCAAAUUUUAACCUUUAAUUGCAACUUUGAGUAAUGAUUUAGUAAGCUUUAAUUCCAUUUUGUAUUGUAGUCAACACUUAUCACUACAAAAUAACAAAACAAUAAUUUGUAGUUCCUAUGAUCCUAUCGUUGUAAUUGUUCAUGCAAAAUCCGACGUGGAUCGCAGGAGUUAGUUGAAGAUCUGUUGAACAAUCGGGAUCGUUCUAGGAUAUAGUGCUUCUAUGUGAUGGGGCGCACAUGUGACCUUCCUCGAGCACUCUUAAGGCAGUGUAAUGGUAAGUGGACCUGUUGAAUUCAACCGUUGAUUGAGCCAAAAUCUGGUUCGGAAGAAAAUUAUAUCCCGACAAACAAAGAAUAAAUGUCAAGAGGUUUCAGUAUCCUGUUACAAUUAAAAAAAAACAUUAUAAAAACAAUUCAAUAUAAGAGGGCAUCAAAAUAAACUCAAUAUGUAUGGAAUCCCACCCGCCAAAAAUAUUAUUAUGCAUAGAAUUAUUUUUUUUGACAAGAAAUCAAUCAGGGAAAGGGAAUUGAACCCGACGUGAAUUGCUAUUAAUGCGCAUAGAAUGUUGAGCUCAAAAUGGCGACAUCGAGCACUAAAUUCAUUUUGGGUCAUGUUAACUUAUGCUUUAGGGAACAUGUUAAACAUUAAUUUCAUUUAUUAAUGGUAAAAAUUUAUUGAAAAAAUGAAUAUUAAACUAUUUAAGCAAUAAAUUAACACAAUUUCCAAUACAUAAUUUCUAUUAGUGGAAUUCUUAACAUAUGUCAUACGGGCACAAGUUAACAUUUCCCUUAGUUUAGGCUAAAAAUAAAUAUGAAUUAAAAUAAAAUACAUUCAGAAUAUAAUCUGAUAAAUAUUCGUAAUUAACAAUGUAAUGUGGUUCCUUAACUAAAAUAAUGUGAUUUGUUGUGAAUUCGGACUCAAAAUCACACCAAUACAAACUAUGAUGUGUGGAGCAAAGGAAAGUAGUAACCAAUAUCAAAGUGAACACAAGCAAUAAUCAACAAUAACAACACCUAGAUCUAAUCUAGGAAUCAAAGUGAAAAACACAAAAUCACAAGCACAAGAUAAAGAGAGAAGAAGAGAGAAAACAAACACACCAAAGAUUGUUCACCCAGUUCGGUCCAAACUUGACCUACUCUGGAGGAGAGAUUGAUCUCUCCAAUCCACUAUCAAUGAGUUCUUACAAAGGGAUACAAAUGAGUUACAAGAAAUUAGCUUAAACAAGCUCACAAAGAACAAACCUAAUUUCUACCCAUUUUCCCAAUCUCACAAAUGAACAAGACACUCAAUGAUUUUCACUCACCCAAUGUGUUUACAAUGUUUCUUAACCCAAGAGAACUCUAAUCAAAGACCCUUAACCCUAAAGUUAACUCCUUUGAUUUCCCAAGUUUUCCUCUCUUGAAGUUCUCUCUCCUCUUCCUUCAAAAAUGAGCUGAAACACUUAAAUAGUACACAGUGACAGACAAAAAUCGCGUCGCGCCUAGGAAAAUCGCGCCACGGUUGAAGCGUACGACCCAAGGUACGACAACCUUAUCCACAAAUCGCGUCACGGCUGCACAAAAUCGUGCCACGAUUUGCUUCAGCAGAAACCAUCCAUUCUGCCAGCAAAAUCGCGCCACGCCUCUGAAAAUCGCGCCACGAUUUUCAGCUUUCACAACAUCACAAUUUGAAGGCAAUUUCAACAUGAUUGUAUAUUUGUUUUUGGUUGGUGUCCAAAUUUAGGAUCUUUUUUGGUAGUGGCCGGGGAUUUGAACCCCGGACCUUGCAUAUCUUUAUGCAUUGUCCAAUCAACUGAGCUAAGCUCACGAGGAUCCAAAUUUAAGAUCUAAAAGGGGUUAAAGAUAAUCCUUUUUUAAAAUAAUAAAAAAAGAAUAUUUUGAAUUAUAAAAACUUGUAUUAGUUAUAAAGGAAGUAUUUACAAUUUAUGCAAUUCUAAAAUAAAUUGAAAUAAUUAAAUAGGCAUAGAUAUCCUUUUGAUCUCCCUAUUUAAACAAAAAAAAAAAAAAAAAAGUUUUGAUCCCCGUGUUUUAAAAUCAAUUUAAUAUCUUUUGUCCAUCAUCUCAUUUUUAGACUAUUAUUUGAUGAUGUGACAUAUUUAUUUAUGAUUUAUAUAUAUUUUUGUUGACGUGUAUUUUUAAUCUGGCCUAAUAAAUGUUGCAUUGUCAUAGAUAAAUGAUGCACAUCAUUAAAAUGAUCCAAAUAUUAGAUGAUGGAUCAAAAUUCAGAAUGAAAAAAAAGAAAGGAUCAAAAAUCGAUUCUUAAAAUAGAGGACCAAAACAUUAAAUUUUCUAAAAUAAGAUAAUAAAAGUGCAUUUAAGCUUAAUUAAAAUUAUAAAUAAGAUAUACUCCAUCCAUUUUUAAAUAUAAGUAAAAUUGAUUUUUUAAGUUCAUUCAUUUAAUUUAAUGAUGCAUGUGGUUACCAUAUCCAUAUGCAUGUAGUUCCUAUGAUCCUAUCGUUAUUUACCGUUCUAAGACAUUAACCCAGCUUUGUUUUCGCUGUUGUUAGGCUUGAAAAUCCUGACGCAGAAGAAGUCAAAGAGUUCGUGCAAAAACAGGUUGUGUUGACAGAUUCAGUAUUGAAGACAUGUGAUUGUAGAGCCAAACUUGGUGAAACUAUCAAAAAGUUGUUUGAUCAUCCUCGUUAUACCGCUCCUUUCAAAAGAGGUGCUAAUCACUAAUACUGGUCUUCAACCUCAAAGUGUCCUUUAUGUUCAGAUACGUACGUUGCCUUUCUCAAUCAUUCACUUUUUUUUUUGUUUUUCUUUUCAAGUAGCUUGCUAAUUUACAAUGUAGGGAUGGGGAAGUCGUAGAUGCUGGGACUGAGACUACUGUUAACCUUUAUCAAGAACUCUACUAUCAUUUUCUGGGUACGGAUCAGUCGGAAGAUAUUCUGUGUUGGAGAGAUCUUAAGAACUCUAAAUAUAUGUUUGACUCAAGUGUCACUGGUGAUGGAAAGGUACCAUUUUUUCCGUGCUUUCAUAUAAUUUUCAAUCAUCAAUAUUAUCGAUACUCAUUCAUUUUGUGUACAUAGUAAGAAAAUGUGUGACUAGUUUAGUAGUUAUUGUUCUUUUUAAUGACAUGUUUAUUCUUAUAGUAUCUGUUUAAGCCUUGCUAGACAUAUUUUUCUAUGCAAGGAUGAGUGUUAUAAUUAAUUUCAUGUCAUAAGGUAGGUAAUAGUUUUUUUUUUGGUAAAUAAAUAUAGGGAUCUUCACAUGAAAGCCUAAACUUUCAAACGUUGCAAUAUUCUAAUUAUUGUCUGAAAAACCAUUAAGAAAAAUAUUGGUAUGUAUGCGCAUAUGCUUCAUGAGAAAACAUAUUCAUUAAUAAUAGCAUUGGCAGUUACCAUACGCUGAUAUUAUUUUUCCUUUACAUCGAACAAAGGUCUUCAUUUUUUCUGUCUUGCAAAUUUGAACUAUGGUUUCUACUAGAUAAUCAUCAAAUUUGUAGUUCCUAUGGUUAAAGUCAAAGCUUUAUAAGUCAGGCAUAAUUUAAUUUUCCGUGGUCAGGUGCAUUAGUGUGUCCAAAUACGCAAUUUCAUUAUGUUUAUGACUUCAAAUUUCCUAAGAAACUGACUAUUUUUAUUUUGCAGUAUGUUCUGCUCUCUAUUAAUGAGGGGUGUGAUCCGGUUAACAAAAUGUAUUACUUUGACUUGUCCGAACUUCCUAAUGGUCUCGAAGGUUUUCAGAAUGAAAAUGCCUUCCUUCCUUUUGUCGAGCUUAUUGAUAACUUUGAUGCAAUGUAUCAAGCCAUUGCUAACGAUGACACUGUGUUUACAUUUUUAACCAAUAAAAAUGCUCCAAAAUAUAAACUAGUCCGAGUAGAUUUGAAAGAACCAAAUACUUGGACUGAUGUUAUCCAAGAAUCUGAAAAAGAUGUACUCAAGGAAGCAUACGCCGUAAACGGUAAUCAACUUAUAGUGAGCUAGCUACUUGAGUGAUGUGAAAUAUGUUCUGCAAGUAAGAGACUUAGAAACAGGUUCCCUGCAGCAUCAAUUACCAAUUGACAUAGGCACUGUUAGUGAAAUUUCUUCACGGCGUAAAGAUAGUGUGGUUUACAUUGGCUUUACAAGCUUUUUGACUCCUAGUAUCAUAUAUCAAUGCAACAUUGGGAGAACACAGAUUCCUGAUAUGAAGAUAUUUCGUGAGAUUGUUGUUCCCGGGUUUGAUCGCUCUGAGUUUCAUGUCAAUCAGGUAAAAAUGAAACUCACUCACGCUUAAAGUUGAAUUAUAGAUUAGGCCCUCUGAGUUUUAAUUAUUCUUAUGUGAGUAUGGCCAUUGUUGUCUAUUGGAAUUUGGUUUGUCUUAUUUCAUUUCAUUAGCUUGUGUUUGAUUAUUUCAUAUGCAAAAUUAUACAUUUCAGGUUUUUGCUCCUAGUAAAGAUGGAACCAAGAUCCCAAUGUUCAUUGUUGCGAGAAAGGAUAUUAUUUUGGAUGGUUCACACCCUUGUUUAUUAUAUGGAUAUGGCGGUUAUAACAUUAGUCUUACACCAUCUUUUAGCGUCAGCCAUAUUGUCCUAGCAAGAUAUUUAGGUUUUGUUUUCUGCAUAGCAAAUAUCCGUGGCGGUGGAGAAUACGGAGAGGAAUGGCAUAAAGCAGCAUCCCUUUCAAACAAGCAAAAUUGCUUUGAUGACUUCAUUUCUUUGGCUGAAUACCUUGUAUCUACCGGUUAUACCCAACCCAAAAAGUUAUGCAUUGAAGGCGGAAGCAAUGGUGGACUUCUAGUCGGUGCUUGCAUAAAUCAGGUUGAUUCAUUUUCUAUUCAAUUGGAAGUUGCAUUUGUAUUGUUCUCCCUGCAUUGAGCUAGCUCUAUUUACGAUUGUGCCCCAUUUUGAACAGAGACCUGAUCUUUUUGGUUGUGCAUUGGCUCAUGUUGGUGUUAUGGACAUGUUACAGUUCCACAAAUUCAUAUAGGUUUGUCUUGAUGUGUAUUCAUCUGUUAUUUUGUGAUAGUAAUAAUGAAAAUUAAUUUGGUGUUUUGUAAUUCAGGUCAUGCUUGGACUUCAGAAUUUGGUUCUCCUGACAAAGAGGAAGAAUUUCAUUGGCUAAUCAAGUGAGUUUGGUUAAACCUGUCAUUAAAUAUUAAGUUGAAACUAUAAUUUUGCAGACUUUGAUGUAGGGGACUAUUUGUGAUGUGAUGUGAUAUCUUAUGAUAAUAGUUAAGUAAGUUGUUUUAGGUACUCACCAUUGCAUAAUGUCUGGAGACCAUGGGAGCAACAUCCAGAUAAGUCAAUUCAGUAUCCACCAACAAUGCUAUUGAUAGCUGAUCAUGAUGAUCGUGUUGUGCCAUUGCAUUCAUUGAAGCUGUUAGCGGUUAGUAUGCUUUCCAUAAUUUAUGAAUUUAUUUUGGAAGCUGCAAACUUUUAACUUGUAUUCCAAAUCCAAAUAUUGAGCAGACCAGACCAUGCAGUAUGUCCUUGUUACUAGCCUAGAUAAAAGUCCGCAGACGAACCCAAUAAUUGCUCGAAUUGAAUGCAAAGCUGGACAUGGAGCUGGGCGUCCGACACAGAAAAUUGUAAUAUACUACUAAUUUGUUUUCUUGUUAGCUUCGUUGUUAUUGUCUUGGUAAGUUAUACUGUACUAAUAAGUUGUUGACUGCAGAUUGAUGAAGCCGCUGACACGUACACUUUUAUGGCUAAGAUGUUAGAGGCUCAUUGGAUUGAGUAGAGCUGUCAAAAGUAAUGUGCGAGAUUUCAUUUCUUCCUUUUCCUCUCAAUCACAAUUGAUAACAAAGUUAUUGGAAAUAGUAGUUACUAGACUUAUUAGGGAUAGCAGAUGUGUACCAUUAAGGUACCAAUUAAAAUGUGUCACAUACCAAUGUUAUUUUAUAAAUGUUUUAUUUGAUGUAUUUUAUAAAUGCUUUAUAAAACAGGUUUGUUUCAUUUUCUAUUCAAUUUGAAGUUGCAUUUGUAUUGUACUAUUGUACCUCAUUUUGAACAGAGACCUGAUCUUUUUGGUUGUGCACUGGCUAGCUAGCUCCCUCCUUCCUAGGGAUUAUGGCAUGUAUGUAUUCAUCAUCAUUUGAGCUCUCCCUUCUUUUCGUUAUGAUGUGGGAGGACCUUUUUCUUGGAUAAGGGCGUCAAGGGUCCGCUAUGUGAAGUCCCGUGACCGAUGAUCCCUCACCAGGAUUCCCUUAUGAUAUGUUGACUCAUCUAUCAUUUUUCAGGUUGUCAUGUGCUUUGGUGUGACAAUAGCAUGUCACUCUAAAUUAUUACGAUGAUACACUAACUUGUGUGUUUGAGUAUCAUACCUUAAAAAUUGGUAUUUUUUAUCGAGUAGUCUAAUGACUAAAAAUUCAUAUUUUAAUCCUUUAAAAGAAAUUCAUAUUUUAAAGAUGAUUGUAUGAGAUUCAAACUCCAAUAUAAUAUACAACGUCCAUAUAAACUGGGUUAAAUUGACGGAACCAAAAAAUUAAUAAAGAAUAUAUAAAUAAAGAAAUAUAUUAAUUAUCCUUGUAAGUGAGAGGACACAACAUAAUGGUUGAAAAUGGCGACAUAAUCCUUCCCUCCUUUCUCUGUAAUGUGAAGUGAGAGUCUCUGAAAGAGAAAUUUGGUCCCUAUUGAAAGCGAAACAAUGUUGUCAUUUAGUGUCCAUUCCCGCCACAUUCUUUUUCAUUUUUCUUCUUACCGUAGCAGCAUCAGAUACCCAAACUUUCUUCCUCGUUUAUUUACCACCAACACAUUAUUCAAAUCUCAUUACUCUUCUUCUCUUAACAAUAACAGCUAUAGAAGAAAAAUGGGUUCACUUUCUGUGUUUGAUGAAACCAUCCAAUAUCCCAUUGCUCGCAGAAACGACUCCGUCAUUGACAACUAUCACGGCGUUAAUGUUCCCGACCCUUACCGUUGGCUUGAAAAUCCUGAUGCUGAAGAAGUCAAAGACUUUGUACAGAAACAGGUUGUUUUGACUGAUUCAGUGCUGAAGACAUGUGAUUGUAGAACCAAACUUGGUGAAACAAUCAAAAAGGUGUUUGAUCAUCCUCGUUAUACCACUCCUUUCAAAAGAGGUGUUAAUCACUACUUUUACUUCCACAAUACUGGUCUUCAACCUCAAAGCGUCCUUUAUGUUCAGGUAACUUACUUUCUCAUCUACUAUUUUUGUUUCUUUUGUUUCAAGUUGCUUAGUAGCCAUAAACUCUGCAACCUUUUAUCAUCUGAGCUGCACUGGACUUCUAUUCAAGUUAUAUUUAUGUAUCCAAUUUAAAUUAGGUAAAUUUAGUAGUAGUACCAUUGUGUUAAUUAUUUCAGGAUAGUUUCGAGGGUGAAGCCGAGGUUUUGCUUGAUCCCAAUGUCCUUAGUGAAGAUGGUACUGUUUCACUCAACAGCUUCUCGAUUAGCCAAGAUGCUAAGUUUUUGGCUUAUGGGCUCAGUUCAAGCGGUAGUGAUUGGGUCACCAUAAAGGUCAUGCGUGUUCAUGACAAGGUUGUUGAGCCUGAUACUUUGUCUUGGGUCAGUAAUAUCUCAUACUCUUUUAGUAACUUAAAAUUAGGAUACUCAAGAGUUGAACGGUGAAUCAAGAUUGAUUGGAAUUUAUUUUCAUUCAGGUUAAGUUUUCCUCUAUUAGUUGGACGCAUGAUAGCAAAGGUUUCUUUUACAGCCGCUAUCCGGCUCCAACAAUCAAGUAAGCCGUUACUUUCAAAUUGUUAUUCUGUUUUUCAAUUCAUAUUUCCGGUUAAGUAUUUAUGUGGAGAUCUUCUCAAUAACAGUAAGUGAAUCAUAGCGUUGCUGAUGAUGGUAGGAAAGACUAGAAUCAGUCUUCCUUUUUCUUGAUUGAUUACUUUACUAAUUUACAAUGUAGGGAUGGGGAAGUAGUAGAUGCAGGGACUGAGACUGAUUCUAACCUUUAUCAUGAGCUAUAUUAUCAUUUUCUGGGUACGGAUCAAUCACAAGAUAUUCUGUGCUGGAGAGAUCCUCACAACCCUAAAUAUAUGUUUGGAGCAAGUGUCACUGAUGACGGAAAGGUACUGUUCUUUCCUUGCUUUUGUAUGGUUGAGAACAUGUGACUAAUUUCCUAAAAAACUUACUGCUUUAUUUGAUUUUGUAGUAUGUUCUUCUCUCUAUUGAAGAGGGUUGUGAUCCAGUUAACAAAAUAUACUACUUUGACUUGUCCGAACUUCCUAAUGGUCUGGAAGGUUUUCGGAAUAAACAUUCCUUCCUCACUUUUGUAAAGCUUAUUGAUGAUUUUGAUGCCAAGUAUCAGCCCAUUGCAAAUGAUGACGCUGUGUUUACAUUUUUAACUAAUAAAGAUGCUCCAAAAUAUAAACUAGUCCGAGUAGAUUUGAGAGAACCAAAUACGUGGACUGAUGUUAUCCAAGAAUCUGAAAAAGAUGUACUUGGGUCGGCAUAUGUUGUAAACAGUAACCAACUGAUAGUAAGCUACUUGAGUGAUGUGAAAUAUGUUCUACAAGUAAGAAACUUACAGACAGGUUCCCUGCAGCAUCAAUUACCAAUUGACAUAGGCACAGUUGGUGAAAUUUCUGCACAGCGUGAAGAUAGUGUGUUUUUCUUUAGCUUUACAAGCUUUUUGACUCCUGGUAUCAUAUAUCAAUGCAACCUAGGAACACGGAUUCCUGAUGUGAAGAUAUUUCGUGAGAUUGUUGUCCCUGGGUUUGAUCGCUCUGAUUUUCACGUCAAUCAGGUAAGAAAUUAAGUGAAGAAAAAUACUCAAUCAUGUGCAUAUGUUACUGUAUUUCCAAUUUUGUAUUAUAAAUUAGGUCCUGUGAAAUAUCAUUACUCUUGAGUCUUUUAAUGAGUGUGGCCAUUGCCGUCUUUUGGAAUCUAUUUGUUUAUUGUUGUUUCAUUUGCUUGUGUUCGAUUGUUUGACAUAAAGCUACACAUUUCAGGUUUUUGCGCCUAGUAAAGAUGGAACCAAGAUACCGAUGUUCAUUGUUUCCAGAAAGGAUAUAAUUUUGAAUGGUUCACACCCUUGUUUGUUAUAUGGAUAUGGUGGUUUUAACGUCAGUCUUACACCAUUUUUCAGUGUCAGUCGUAUUGUCCUUGCAAGGCAUUUAGGUUCUGUUAUCUGCAUAGCAAAUAUUCGUGGUGGUGGAGAAUACGGAGAGGAGUGGCAUAAAGCAGGAUCCCUUUCGAAAAAGCAAAAUUGCUUUGAUGACUUCAUAUCUGCAGCUGAAUACCUUGUAUCAGCCGGUUAUACCCAACCCAAAAAGUUAUGCAUUGAAGGUGGAAGCAAUGGUGGACUUCUUGUUGGUGCUUGCAUAAAUCAGGUUUGUUUCAUUUUCUAUUCAAUUGGAAGUUGCAUUUGUAUUGUGCUCCCUGCAUUGAGCUAUCUGUAUUUACUAUCGUACCCCAUUUUGAACAGAGACCUGAUCUUUUUGGUUGUGCACUGGCUCAUGUUGGUGUUAUGGACAUGUUACGGUUCCAUAAAUUCACUAUAGGUUUGUUCUGAUUCGCUCUUUGUAGUGUCUACUAAUUUGUUAUUUUGUAAAAGUAAUGUUGUAUAUUGAUUUGGUGUUUUGUUAUUCAGGUCAUGCUUGGACCUCAGAUUUUGGCUGUUCUGACAAGGAAGAAGAAUUUCAUUGGCUAAUCAAGUGAGUUUCGUUAAACCUAUCGUUAAAUAGUAAGAUGAAACUGUACAUUACAUAAACAGAUAUCUGAAAGUUUUGCUAAUAAGUGAUGCUGCAGGCUGCUAUGUAAGACUAUAUAUGUGUAUGCGACAUCUUAUGAUAAUACUAUGGUGUUUCAGGUACUCACCAUUGCAUAAUGUCCGGAGACCAUGGGAACAGCAUCCAGAUAAGUCGAUUCAGUACCCAUCAACAAUGCUAUUGACAGCUGAUCAUGAUGAUCGUGUUGUGCCAUUACAUUCAUUGAAGCUAUUGGCGGUUUGUCUGCUUCCCAUAAUUGAAUUUAUUGCAUUCUGAUUUAUUGAGUUAUGAAUUUAAUUUGCAAGCUUCAAAACUUUUAACUUGUAUUCCAAAUAUUGAUCAGACCUUGCAGUAUGUCCUUGUUACUAGCCUGGAUAAAAGUCCCCAGACGAACCCAAUAAUUGCUCGAAUUGAAUGCAAGGCUGGACAUGGAGCUGGGCGUCCGACACAGAAAACUGUAAUAUUUUUUUUUCUUUCUAGCAUCCAUUUUGUAUUGUUGUACUGGCUUGGUAAGCUAUACUUACAAGUUGUUGACUGCAGAUUGAUGAAGCCGCUGACCGGUAUGGUUUUAUGGCUAAGAUGUUAGAGGCUCGUUGGAUUGAGUAAUGUGGUGCAACUUCAUUUCUUCCUUUUCCACCCAUGACAAUUGAUAAGAAAGAAUCAGCAUUAGGUGAUGUCUUGAUGGCAGUGGCAUAGAGGGAUAGUUAUUUUCAGUGAUUUCUUUAGGGGGCGGGACGUUCUCAUUAGAAAAUUUAUCACUCUAUUAUAUAUAAAAAAAAAUGUAUUUCCCCCUUUGUAUUAUAGGAAUGGAACAGCCUUCCUUCCGUGAAAUAUUUGGACAGUAUAUGACCAUUGAAAACUUUAUCAUGUUAUUCUUUUGGGUGGCAUUUCACAUGGGAAAGGUUAAUCCUUUUCCACCAUGGGAAUGUUGGAUUCAAAGAUUAGAUUAAGUGAAGAACAUAUUCUUAACAUGCUCUUUCAACACUAGAUUUUUCUUCAUACUAUCUUUCAACAAUUUUAAAAUUCUAAAAAUUAAUUUUUAGAAAUUAAAAAAAUAUAAAAAAUUCAGAUAAUUUUUUUUUUAAAUUCUGUAAUUCAUUUAUUGAAUGUUAGAAUUUUUUUUUAAAAAAUGAAAAAAAAAUUGUUCAAAAUUUUCCAGAAUUUUAUUUUCUUAGAAAAAUAAAAAACUUUAAUUUCAAAUUUUUUUUUAGGAUUCUUAUUUUAUUAUGAAAUUAAAAAAUAUAUUCUUUUUAGAAAAAUAAAAACUUAUCUUAUUUUCCAAAAUUUUAUUUUUCUUUGCAAAAAAAAAUAAAAUUCUAACAUUCGAUGAAUUACAGAAUUAAAAAAAAAAAUUAUAUGAAUUUUUUUAUAUUUUUAUAUUUUUUUAAUUUCUGAAAAUUAAUUUUCAAAAUUUUUAAAUUGUUAGAAGAUAGUGUGAAGAAAAAUCUAGUGUUGAAAGAACAUGUUAAGAAUAUGUUCUUCACUUAAUCUAAUCAUUGAAUCAACUUUUCCAUGGUGGGAAAGGAUUAACCUUUCCCAUGUGAACACACACCAUUCUUUUGUGGUGACAUUUAAUUUGGGAAAGGAGACUUCUUUCCCAUCAUGGGAAAGUAUUUUUUUGACCAUUAGAUCAAAUAUAGAUCAUAAUGUUAUCAUAGACACUCACCACAAUAUAAUGCACCUCAUUUUAUACCUUUCUUCUUCUCCUUCCCUCUUGUUCCUCUUCAUCAUCUCAAAUUGUGUUCAUAUAAACCCGGAAUAAUGUGAACAAACAAGCCUAUAAAAAACAAGAACUGAUUGAAUCAUUCACCAUUCAACAUUUAUUGAAUCUCAAAUUAAAUUGAUUGAAUCCUAUUAUUAAUUAAAAAAUAUCUACAAUUAAAUGAGUUAAUAUGAAGGAAAAAACGCAGGAAUAGAAGGAUUGAAAUUGAACCCUCAAAUUCACCCAUAAUUUUUUUUCUUCUGCAAAAACAACAAAUCUCAUAACCCCAAAUCAAUACAAGACAACAAGAAUCCAGGAAUAACAGCAACAACACCAAACGUGAAUUAACAGAUCCAAACACCAAACAUGAAUUAACACCAAACGUAAGCAGCAGAAGCUCCGACGGAAACAGAUCUGGAACCGAGGCGGCGACGACGGUGGUAUUUCAUGAUAAUUGCUGUUUACUUUUGAUGAUUUUUACCAACCUUUUUGGCAACAUAGAAAACAAACUAUAAAAGGGGGAAUUGUGAGAAAAAUGCAACAUUGAAAUUUUUUUCUUCUCUUUUCAAGAACUGUGUUUAUUAUUAAUUGAUAGGGAAUCAGCGAUGAGGAUCACGUUCACCGGCUUGAAGUUCUUGACCAAUAGAAUAGGAAUCAGGUGAGAUGGUGGUGGGAAAAGAGGAACAUGAGUGGUUAGAUUUAAUAUUGAGAGUCCAUAAUAAAGAUGUGUUAUACACUUGAUCCAAUGGUCAGAAAAAGCUUUCCCAUGAUGGGAAAAAACUAGUCUUUCCCAAAUUAAAUGUCACCUUCUUUUGUGAUUAAAGUAGAGAAAGUGGUGACGUUUAGCCUGGAAAUCAGGAGUUGUUUCCCACCAUGGGAAAGCUCCCUUUCUCAGGACAGCUGGCAUUAUGCAACCCGUUGCUAAAAAAAAAAAAUGAAACUUGUUUUUUAAUGUUUUUUUUUGUUUCUUCUUGUUGCACCCUUUAAUUUACUUUAGUGUAUUGUCUCUCCUCAAUUAGUUCACAUUCACAGAAACGAAACAUACAAAAUUGCAGGAAGAAAGUAACCAUAAGAUCUGGCAUAAAACAGCAGCAUAAAAAUUCAUCUUUCAUUUUGCUCCAAACAAUUCCAACAACCAUAUUCAAGAUCUAAGGUAAAUUCUCUAUUUUUAACAAAAACAAACAACAAUUUUUUCUUCAUCAUCAACAACAUUUUCCAAUCUCAAUUUCAACAACAACAACAACAAUCAUCAACAACAACAAUAACAUUUUCAACAAUCACAAACUCCCAAUCUCAAUUUCAACAAAAACAAUAAUUAUAUACUGUGUUUUCUACAACAGCAGCAACAACCUUAAACAUCCACAAAGGCACAAAGUUGUUAAAAGCAACAACGAUAAACCUCCACCAGAAGUUCACCGCGAAUCAUACAAUGGCAACGAAGUACACGCGCCGAACUUACGUAAGAUUUCACUGCUGAGAUUAUUAAUAGAAAGAUAAAGUUCCACGAGAGUCGAACAAAGCUCAGCUAAAUGCGUUGGGAUUUUUCCGGCGAAGUGAUUUGCCAGUGAUUUUGUUUCCUAUGACAGAUAAAAACUCUAUAUCAUGGUUGAGGAUCCAGGUGAACAAGCUGGAGAGGUUGAGAGAACCGAAACUCUAAUAAGUCUUCAUAUGGAUUAUCCUUUAAUUCUCCAGAUUUGGGUGAAACUAAGGUUGAUUUGGGGAUUUAUUAGUGAUUUAAAAAUUAAUUAAUUAAAAAUAAUGAAUUAGAAUUUUACUAUCAUGAUUUUCUGGGUUUUUAUUUUUUAUUUUAUUUUUAAAGAUGAUAAUUAAAGAUGAAGAGAAUAAUAGGGAAGAAUAUGAAGAAAUGAAAUGAAAUACUAUUGUUGUUUAAUUAGAAGGUGGGGACCACUGCUGCAGUCCACAAUGUCAUGCAACAAUUCACAACAAUUACCACGUCACAAAUCCUAACCAUCCAAUUAAAAAAUUAAUAAAUUCAUGGUUGUGGUUCAACUUUUUCAUGAAGGGAAAGAACUCCUCUUUCCCAUACUAAACCCCACCAGAGAGGUGAAAGUGGUUGAACAUAAACUUGAUCGAGAAUUUGCUUACUUAACAUCUUCUGAAGCAACGUGGGUCGAACCCCCUUUAUUUUGACUCAUUUGAGGUCCUUCUUUGAGGACAAUCCAUCUAUUGGAUUGGAUGGAUGUAAAUCACAGGACCUCUAUCAUCUGGUUACAUUGUUAGUUUGUAAUGUCCACAGCUUGUGGCGGGCAACUGACAAACCUUUAGGUUUGUGAUGUGAUACUUAUUUCUAAAGAGAUCUUAAAAACUUACAUAAAAAUGGUAACUACUUGUGACACUUGUUAAGUAAUCAAAUAUAAUAAAACUAUCUUGAAACUUUUUCAAUAUAAAAUUUACUUUUGUUUCCUUAACAAAUUUCUUAAGGACACUAGUCAGCAUGACCCGAACAUAUAUUAUUUAAGGAAUUGUAGACCUUACUUAAAAGCACUUAUGAAUUGGAUCCGAUAUAAUAUGAGCCUCCAUAUUAGGAUGCUACUCUUCACCUUCAAAUUUUCUAGAAAAAUCACGCAUACAUGUUUCAAAAAUAUACUUUUAGAUGAUAAUUAUUUUCCAAAUGUACACAAUCAAAACCAUGCUAGGAGGUGGCCAAUUUCGGCCUCCAUAUUAUUAUGGAACAAUAAUUCUCUAGAUUCAAUUCAACUGUGUUUGCUACUUCAGUAAUACCAUGUUCAUGUUACAUUGACACAAGAAAAGCAAAUGUAACUCAGUUUCAGCCAAAAUUAAUUCAUUCAAAAGUAACCAUAUAGGAGCAAAACAUGCAACAAUAGGACCAAUAUAAUAGGGUUGGCAGUACGAGAAGGAACAGUUCAGGAGAACAUGCUAGUUUUACUAGAACUGGAAAAAAGCUGCUCAACUUCAAGAUAAUAAUUGCGUCAGUCAUCGAAUUAUAGUUAGCUCAAGACUCACUCAGUCAAAAACUCAAUAUUUCACUCAUUUAUGUUUUUCUCAUCGCAUGAGAAACACACUUUUCAACAUGAAUGAACGGGAAUUUGAUGUUAUUAUUUGACUGAAAGUAAAGAAUAUGGAAACCGAAUUAUGCAAUGGACACGUCGUGUGUGAUUCAAAACAGAGCGGCCAGUUCCUGUUCAUCGCACAGUAGUUCCAUAAUUUCAUCCAAGUUCAAUUUUUUAAACUCACUUUUAGAAUAUCAUUUCAAAUAGUACUGGAGUCUACUGCAAAUAGUUAGUGCGGAAUGUGCGCGAGUGUUGUAAACUUCGGAAUAUCAAGUUAGAUUCAUACUCAUAUAUAAAAUAUCAUUUCCAGUAUGAAUUCAUGUUUAAACAAUAACACUGUCAAUUAUUCAAAAAAAAUAAAAAAUACAAGUAACACUCUCAAAACCAAUUCUAUCUAAAUCAAUAAGAACUAAGACUUAAAAAUUGGGGCAAUAAGAUACCCUUAUUAAGUCAGAAAACAUUCCAUUUUGAUGUCUGUCACAUCAAGUUGCAAAAUUUCAGCUCUACAACCCAACAUAGAUCCAAUGCUGCAAAACCAAAAGUUACGGAGAAUAAAUUAUUUCAAUUCCCAUAAGCCUUGGGUAUUUAUUUAGUUGAGGGCAUGCAGUAGUGUGUGUAUAUAUAUAUAUAUAAUUGGAUGUAAGGAAUAAAUAUUAUUUCAAUUCCCAGAAGUCUUGGGUGUUUAUUGUCAUACCUAGGAUGCGUGCGUCCAAGAUCCCCAUGAACGAACUCCUUGAUAUAGGUCCCAGCCUGCAGAGAUUUUAUAAAUUAGUGAUUGCAGAUUUGGCUGACCAUCAUGACCCAUAAUUAUUGAUGGGGUGGUACAAGGGGGAAUAGUACUCUUGCCAUGUCCUCUAGCUGGACAAAAUGGCAGUCAGUUACUCCUAUGUGAUAGUAAUUCCAUUUGCCCAAAUAAAGUACUUAUAGUAAAAACCAGCUUACAUAACUUUUCUGCCAAAUUGUCAACAUUCAUUGCAAAUCAAGUCUAACAGCCUAUGGUUGGAGCUACCAAAUUAUUGGUGUUAAAAACAUAACUGUGUCUAGCUCUAAUUUAAAACUAAAUUCAGUCAUUGAGAAUUUUCAUUUACAAUCAAUACAUAAGAGAGAACUUUAAAACAAUACCUGCGUACACAAAUGCAAAAGAAAAUAUUGGGAACUUCCAGCGAUUGUCUCUAGUUUCAUCCUAAAAAUUUGGAGAAACAGAAGGGAUUGAAAAUUUCAGUUAAUAGUUUAAAUGUGGCCUUGAUUGUGAGCUUGGCAUAAAAUUAUCAAUAUAUAGUCAUACCAAUGAAUGAUCUUUUCCCGCUCUAAAGGACUGCGACGGUGUAGCACUCUUAUUGGGGUCUUCUGCAUAACUUUCUGCACAAAACAAGAGAAAAUUACGUGGUUUCCAGAGUUGCAAUUUAAAACAAAAAACUCCAGUUAUGCAGAAAUCCCACAAGAGAUUAUCCCAAUGAUUACAAGCAUGAUCCAAGGGUAAAACAGACCUCGGUCAAGCUACAGCAAAACUUCAAAGGAGUCAAGAAUAUGAAAUUUAAUAUCUGGUUCAAUUUUUCAUUUUAAGUCUUUAAAUUUUUGCUUAAAUAGAUUUCAAUCUAAUCUUGAAGUUGUUACAUGGGUCCUAUUAUUUUCAAUAGUUUUUUGUAUAUAUUCUCUUAGUAAAAAAAUAUUGUUUAGUAAAAAAAUAUUUCAAUAGUAGCCACAAUAAGUGUCACUUUAGUAAAAAAAUAUUGUUUUAAAUAUGAAUGUCACUUUUAGUUUUCAAUGUAGUAGUAAUAUUUUUUUCAACUUGUACCAUCCAAAUAAUAUAAUGGAUAUUACUCCCAAAGCAUUAUACUUCACUUUGCGUUUAUGACAGUGGGAAACACACCAAUAGUUAAUAAGAAUAAUUUGGUAAAAUUACUAUUAUCUUCUUCUAUUUAUUGCAUUUCUUAAUAUGUGUGUAAAAACCUUAACGACAUUCAUUUUGAAACAGAGGCAGUACAAUUUUGAUACAAACUUAUGUGAUUGAUUGAACAUGAAACGAGUAGAUACAUCAGACAACAUGCAACGGAGGGUCAAUAUAAGCAAUGUUCGGAAAUGGACUCAAUGAGCAAGCAUAUUAUAUGGAUAAAUUACAGAUUUAAACGAGUAAAAUUUACAACCAGGAUGUGUUAUAAUAAAAGAUGACACAUCUUUGAGCUCUACUUAACUUAUAUCAAUCAUGCAGAGACCGAAAUAAUAACCAAAGUUCUGCCAGUUUAUGUUAAACUUUUCUUACAAAGCACAAGUUCGGUGACAACUUAACAAGUAAUAUACAACAACAUAAAACUCACCAAAUCCUUGAGUGAUGUCACAUGUUGAAGAUCUUCAUCCUUCAGAGGACGAGAAAUCCACACUAAAGCAGCAUAUUGCUUCUAUACAAUUUGAAGAUUAGAAUAGUAAGGAUGACUCGGAUGAAACAAUUAAUGAAUCAAAGCUGCAAAUCAUUGACUAUAAAAUAAGUAUACGAUUAAGAAGAAAAAUGCAAGACCUGCUUCUCAGCUUCGCCUUCACGCAUAAGGUCCCAGCCCUGACUCCCAACAAGUUUCAUAUUUUUCACUCUAACCUACAUGAACAUAUGGCAUUGUGCAUUUACUCGCCAUGAAAUAAAUAGCGUACAUACAAAUGUUAUCAAUUCAGCUAGAACAUUACCAAUUUAUUCUCCGUGGUAUUUAUCUUUUUCUCUAUAUCUUUUACAGACAAUUCAGAUGGGACUUGUCGAGCGUUUUUCACCUCAACAAGAAAUGGCCUGCCAGGCCCCAGCAUUCGGACCUAGAAGAUUAAUUACACAUCAGAUAAAUUUAUCCACCAAUAAACUUCAAAAAUAAUGCAUCAAAACCAUGAAUUUUAGUACAUCAAUAUCUUCUCUUCCAGCAGCAUGAAACUUGAAACUAUCAGCUUGGCAUGCUUGAAGUAUGUUUUCACCAAUUAUUUCCUACAACGUUACAUAAGUAUACACUAUUGUCACCUACCACAACCAACUUUAAAAGGAAGUAUUUUGUAACAAUUGAAAUUUGCAAGAGCAGACAGUACCUCAACUGACGCUUCCCCCAUUCUUUCAUCAUCAAUGAUCCAGCGUGAUUGACUCACAUUCCGUGAAUACUGUGUGAAAGUAUCAGUAUAAAUUUUAGGUUGCACGAGCUAGAUUCAAUCUUAGUCGAUCAUUACUUUGAAAGUCAUAGAAAUAUGCCAAUGUCCAGAAAAAAUUAUGGAAAUUAUAUUCCAUAUACGAGAAUCUCUUUCUGGGACAACUGGUCAAACAAAAGAAAGCACCCUUGCAUAUCACAUUAAAACAACAGUUGAACAUCUCUACAUAGUUUUUAGUAUGUGUAAUAUGCAUAUCAGCACAUUUGAAUAUGUCAGCUUAUUGGUGCCACAUUUGAGAAAACUGGUUAGAGUAUUUUUAUUUUUUUUACCUUCAGGUACCUUCUAUCAAAAUAUACAGGUAUUACACAAACAUGGCGAGAGAAAGGGAAGUUGAGAAAUAGUAAAUAGAUCAGCAUCAACAACGGCCAGGCCUUAAGAAAAAGAGGUAGUAAGGAGAUAGGAAAAAAGUGAGUGAAAAAGAGAAAGAGAUCAAAGACACAGAUGGGAACUCCCUCGAUUGAACAAAGUAUGGGGGGUCGAGUAAGAAAAAGAGGAACCAAUGAUAUGGCAGUAAAUUUUCCAUCUUGAUGUUCAAAAAGUAAAAAUAUGAGCACGUCAAAGAAAUGUUGAUAUAGUUAAGAGUUGCAAUAUGUUAGUUCAAUUAGGAAAACAGGGGAAUAACAUAAGAAAGGCAUUACCUUGAGGUAUCUUCCACCAAAAUAUAAAGGUGUUCUGUAGCAAGAGUAAGUAAAAUGGCAAGGUUGAUUUGCCUAAAAAGCAAGAAAAAUUAAUUAGCAAUAGAAUAAUAUAUAAUCAUAAUAAUAGACAAUGUCUGCCAUUGAUUAGCUUAGAAAUUUUGAUUAUUAUAGUAUGAAAGCAAAAAAAAAAACAUCAUUCAAAGGAAAAGAAUGAAGAAUUACCGUUUCCAACAAGAAUUUACAGCAAUGAGAGGAUUGAUCUUGAAGAGAAGUGGUGAAAGUAGUAUUGUGUUCAUCUAUAAAAAUGUGGAAUAAAUUGUGAAUGAAAGGAAAUAUAAAAUGAUUAUAAGGAAGACAAUGAUAAAAGUGGAGAAACCUGUUUUUCUUCUCUUAUUAUUAUUAUUGUUAUCAUCUUUAGAAGCGGUGUAUGUCAAACGAAUGUGGAAAGAAGCAUCCUGUUGAUUUGAAUUACAUCGACCACCGAGGAGAGUUUGAAGUGGAGGCAGUAGAGAAAAGUUGAAAGCAUCUUUAGCAGAGAUGAAAGUAGUAUUAUCUUUGAAACCAUAUUUGAUUUUGAUGUAUUGCCUAAGAGUGUUAUCGUUGUUGAGGAUAAUAGAAGGAAUGAUUAUUUCCAGGGAAAAGGAAUCAUGAUGAGAGUGAUAGCCUUGACGUUUAACCAUAUCAGAAAUGAGAAGAGGGACAUUUGUAUUAUUAUUAUCAUCGUGAAACCUAAACUGAAGGAUCCCUAAGCAAAGGGUGCAGAGUUUAUUAUUAUCACCAUAUGUUGGUGAUAGGGAUGUAAAAGCAUAGACGCUGCUGGCUUCAACUCUAAACACACGAAAGAUGCACCGCACACAUAACUGCCAAUCAAAUUUGAAAUUGAAAUUGAAAUUGCUUAGUAGUAAUAAUUACUAAUUAAUUAGGAAGAAGAAGAAGAAGUAACGAAAUGAUUGAUUACCCCUAGGGAGAGAAGAUCGUUGACGACGUCGGAAGGAAGAGACUUGAUCACUUCUUCUAACUCCUUCUGCUGCUGCUCCGACGACUCCAUUCUCCUCUCCCAGGAUUACACUGUCACUCAACUCUAACUCUGUAAACUGCAAAUUCAUUUUAUUCCUUUUUUUUAUUUUAUUUUAUAAAUAAAUUUGUACAAAUAUCAAAAUUACACGUACUUAUUUAAGUUGGAAACUUCUAUGGUACACUCACGGUACUCUUGUUUCACAAAAUAUAUAAAUUAACGAUUUAAUGAAAUAAAAAGGUAUUUGUCAAUAUUUAUAUUUAAAAAACAUCAUUUCAUAAGAAAAAUCAUCAUUUCAUUGUUUAUAAGGAUCAUAUUAAAAAAUUUACAUUUUGUCAUAAAAAAUAAUCAAUAUUCAUUGUUAUGAGUAAUAAAAAUUCUUAAAAAUUAAAUUUUAUUUCGUCGAAGCUUUUGGUAAAUAAAAUUUAAUUAUCUUAGUUGUCAAUGAUAGAAAAUAAUUAUUUUUCUUCAAAAGAAAAACUCAUUUAUUAUUAAUUUUACGACUUGGUGUACCGAUACACCCAAAUUUAUUGGGUGUACCAUAGAAUUUGUCAUUUAAGUUUAGUGGGGUGAGUGUGGUAAACUUGUUGUCUAAUAUUGUGAAAGUUAAAAAUAUGUCAAAUUAGUCCUUAGUAAUUUUUUAUUUAUAGGCAAAUUAUUCCCGGUAAUUUCUCAUUUAUACAUAAAUUAAUCUUUGUGUAGUUUAACUAUCUUCAGAUAAAAUGAUUUCUAUGACAUGACAAUUGUGUGGUGUCCAAACGAGGAUGUCACAUAAGCAUUUAUCGUUUAGCUCAUAUUUUGUAAAGGAAAAAGAUAUUAAAAUGAUAUACCUAUUAUAAAUUCAAAAACAUAUUUUCCUAUUAGGAAAAUUUAGUGUCUAAAAUUGAUUGACCAUUAUAAUUUGAGGACCAAAGUGAUGUUUUUACUCUCACUCAAACUCUUCUUUGCAUCCAUCAAAGCAUCAUGUGUUUCAAUUGUCAUAUGUCACAUUACUAUAAUGAAAAUAAAAUAUAAAUAGUAUUUUUGAUUGGUUAAAAAUUCACAUGAACCCACGAAAAGAGUGUGUUGCUAGCAUUUGUUAACAAAAGCAAUCAAACUGAAAUUAAAGUUCUGCAUUUCCAUAGCCAAAUAUUCUUAGUACUUUGAGAGCAGUUAAUCAGAAAAGAGACAGUCAAAACAUAGAGUGCUCUUCCAAGGUCAAAUUUCUCAUUACUUUUACUCUGUAUUGUGUGGUGGUAACAAAUAAUAAUAAAAUUUGGGAAGAUUAUAAAUGGAAUAUAAUAUAUUGUUUCUGUUUGCUUAUGAGAAAGAAUGUGACCUCGAGUAGGGGUCAUUUAUAGUUCAACAUCAAUAAUUAAUGAAAGCAAUCGAACAAUAAAAGAAGAAGCAGACAAGGUAGCUGCUUUUUUGAUCAUAUUCUUCUAAUAAAGGCUAAUUAAGUAAGUAAUAUUGAUUCAUGUGGUAGCUAAGUAAGUCAUCAAAGGGGUCGAGUAUGUCUUCCAGUUGCCCUACCACAAAGUAAUGCAUUCUUAGGAAUAGGGUAUUCAUCUCUGAGUGAUGUUGAUGUUGUGUAUACACGCAUAUAAAACUGUUGCCCAAGAUAUUGUCGUGCCCAAAAUUCUGACCUCAAGUUCCACAUUCCCACAUUGUCAAGUGGAACAUAGAUAGCAGUCCAUGACUUUGGAUAUACCUGAGUGGUGGAACGCGAAACUGCAUCUCGAAGAUUGUACUGGUUCCUUUUAUCACUUGUCCAUUGUCCUCCAUCCAUACUGCAACAUUCAUAUAUAGGUUAUUAUUAAUAUUAUGAUUGAUGCUGAUUUUAAAGAAAAUGAAAAUUAUCUAAAUAUAUGUGUUUGUGAUGGAAAAUCAUACUCACCCAACAACAAAGAAAGAGUAGCCAUCUAGAUGAUAGCUCUGAAGGAUGUCUUCGUCAUUUUGGAAAACAAUCUCAACAAAUGUUCUGUAGUCAGUUUGCAUAACAGAAGUGUCGAGGUAAAUACCACCACCACUAGGUCUAUCAGAGAUGCUUCCAGGACGGUAAACACCUGCUAUCUUGAAGAAAUCAGCCAGCUUAAGAGGAGUGUCGGGGGCAACAUAAGACACGCUGUUAAUUGCGUAUCUUUGUUUCCCAUUAACUUGUCCAGCUGAACUUGAUAGUACAAUUGUCCUCGUUAAGUUUAUCAUGCCGUAAUGGUAUGAUCCUUGCGGAUUUGGUCUUGGUCCACUUGCCGUCAGGUUUGUCCUAAUAGAACGGGCUUGGUUCAAGGACCAGUCGAUUUGGAUGGUGGGUCCACCGGGGGGUGGACCUGAAACUGGGCCUGCAGAGUUGCUGUAGCGAAGAAUUCCAGUGGAGGUGAGUACAGGAUUGGUAAAUCGAGAGGAAACAACAAUAUAAUAGUCUUGACUAGGUUGAUCUGCGGUUACUAGAACUGAGUAUGAUUGACCGACGUGAACGUCAAGGGAGGAAUAGGUGGUUUGGAGGGUGUGUGUUCCUUCCACUUCUACCAGCUUCAUCUUGUGGUUCUGUAUGCGAAAGUUGAGUGAAUUUUCCAAUCCCACGUUUGAUAUUCUAAGCCUGUAAGUCUUUCCUGUAACAUUUAUGACAAGUUUAGUACUAAUGUUGAGGAAAGCUAAAUAAAACAACAUUAUGAUUCUUAUUCACGUAGGUAAUGCAGUACCUUGCUCCACAUUGAGAGAUGAUCCUCCAGACCCACGACCAUUGAUAAGAAUUCCAUCAGGGAAAGGCAACUUCUUUCCGUUAUCAAGUUGGGCCUUCAAAUCCUGUCACAUAAUACAAUACAAUCAAUUUUACUGAAAAUGAAAAUCAUGGUCUGAAAAUGAUGAUGAAGAUAGUAAAUGAUUAGUUACCGUGUGGUUGGACUUGUACCAAUCUCCAAUGAGGACAGUGUAAUCACCAGCGGGAUCAUCGAAGGGAACGGGAAUUCUUGGCCUACUUAGAAUUCUAAUUCCUCCAAAACCACCAGCAGCUUUGUGGAAUGCAAGAGAUGGGAAAUAAUAGAAACUACCAAUUUGAUCUUUUACUUGAAGUAUGUAUGUGAAGUUCUUUCCAGGUGGAAUGGGACAUGUUGUUCCAAACACUCCAUCUUCGUAUGAGUUCCUUCUCUGCUGGACUCCAUUCCUGUGUGACAUGCCAUGUCAUCAUUUAUUAUACAUUUUCUUUCAAAUAAUUUUAAUUCUGGCUGGCUUGCAAGGUUAUAUGUCUUAUCAGUUAUUAUCACAAAUUCACUAUAAUUUAAAAAGUGGUCCCUAAUAUACUACUAUUUCACUUAAUCAAGGAGAUAAUUAGCUCAAUUUGAUGGUUAACAGCAAAGCAUGAUUAAAGUAAAUGGGGCCAACCCAAUUAAAAAGACUUUUGAGGCAAGCAAGCAUAGAAUAGAAGAAAUUCAAAGUGAUUGAUACUAGAAAGUAAUAGAGUAAACUUUCCAUCUCCAUAUACUAUAUGAAUAAAAUACUAAUUGAUAUAACAAGUGAAGCUGGUAGAUCUGGGUGGAUCCAUCCAUGUUAACAAAAUUGGCGGGUUGACCCACCAUGACCAGCAUAGUACUACAAGAGAUAAGAUGAUAGUAUGUGUGUUUUGUAAGGUUUCAUCAUUUUCCUAUCCUUUGCAGCCACACAACACAGUACAAGUGGUGUGACCCAACAAACAAACAUCCCAAAAUGUAGUACUAAAUAGUAUGAUGAAUAUGAAUAUAUACUAACUAACAGGAACAUCAUUAAAAGAAACCAACUAUAAUAACAUAACAUGCUUUCGUGUUUAAUUCUUUUUGUUAUUUAUACAUAUCAUAUGGUAUAGAAAUUAUAUAGGAAAUGUGAAAGGUACUAACCAUGAAAUGAGAAAAGGUUCAUCCAAGCUGUUGAAGACAUUGAUAAUGAGAUUAUCAUUUGUCACAGAAUGAAUGUCUGGUCCUGGGAAUUGGCCAUUGAUAAGUAUUCCCUGCAUGUGUGUCACAAAUUAAUCACAAUGACUCAGAUCCGAUAAGGUAUAAGGAUGAAAGUGAGAAUAUAAAUAUACCUGUUGGCGAACACCAAGUGGAUAAAUGUCACCAUAGGUAACGUUCCAGUUGAAGAACCUGUAUGGAUCUUCAGCAACAAUAAUAGUUGUAGUGAUGGCAAAGAGGUAAACACUAACACAUAAUAACACCAAGUUCGGUGCCAUUUCACUGAAUGAAUGAAUGAACUCGAAGUGAAGAAGCUAGAUAACUUAAUAAAGACACCUUUUUAAUAAUACUAUAAAUAAACAAAGGGAAGGGAAGUGGAAGGUGGAUGAAUAUGAUAUCAAAUGGGCACCGCACAGCACAUGGCCAGGAAUGGACAAAGAGUGUGGUACAGAGUGUAUAUGUAUCAUGUUUCAAAGAAUCAAUCAAUAUCAAUAUAUAUAUAGCCGUAAAAGGGUACUAGUAAAAUUAAAAUAUAGAGGGAAACUCCAACCAAUAGAUUUUCUUUUUCCCACAAGUUGACCAAUUUAAAUUCUAGUCAAAAAACCAUGUAUACACCUCAUUUUUAACUAUAUAUCAAUCAUUUAAAAUAUUAACUUUUACGAUUUUAAUAAAUAAAAUAACAAUUAAAAGAAGAACAAAUUUCACAAAUACCUGAUAGAUCAUUUUCUUUGCACUAUACUUUGUAUCAUAUAACAUUUUUUAUUUAAUUAUAUUAAGUCAAAUAGUGAGUCAAAAAAGAAAAAGUCAAAUGGUCAAUAUGUUUAAGAAGACACCUAUUUUUUUUUCAUUCAUAAAAUUCUUACAUGAGAAUUAAUUUAAUAAAAACCACGUUCCUUGUCAAUUUGAAUGGCAAACUUUUUUAAAUUUAAAACAAAAAAAUGUCUUUUUGAAUAAUUCAUGAAGAAAAUUCAAAUAUUGAUUUUAGUUUAUUUUAAUAAUUAUUUUGAAAAAUAGUUUAACGUAAACAUUUUAAGUUAAUUUAUAUUAUAUAUAAAGAAAAUAACAUUUUUCAGCUCUUUUGGACUGACUUUUUCCCUUUACAAAAAUGUCAUCAAUUUUCAAUACAAAUAACACAUGUAACAAAUAGAUAAGAAUAAAUUUAAAUAUUAAAUAAAAUGUAACGAACACGAUAUAAAUAUAUUUAUGUCUAGUUUUUUCUUUUAUCAUUUAAAAAGUGUAACAGACUAGAUGAGUAUAUUUAUACUUACUUUUUUAUUAUCUCAAUUAUACUCUUAAACAACUUUUUCUAUAAUAAAGAUUGUUGUUGGUGUCACAAAAAAAAAGAAUUUAUUUUAUAUUUUUUUAUUAUAUUGUUGGUGUCAUUGAAAUAGAUAAUCAUGGUUAGUUUGGUUUGUUAUAACUUGAAAGCAACAAACAUUUAUAUUUUUAGUUUUAAUCAAAAUCAAAAUUUCAUUAAAAAACACCGUUCAUAAAACUUGUCAAAAAAAAAAAACACCGUGCAUAAUUUUCAAACGUUAGUGCAAUAUAAAGAGUGAAAAGACGGACCCGUCUUUUUUCUAGUAUUUUAUAAUAUAAAGGUUACAACAAGUAACUUUGCUAGAAUAAAAAGAAAAGUGCACUUUUCUUCUCUUUUUUUUCUAUAAAAAAAAAAAAAGUGCAAGUUCUUAGGACCAAAAAGAAAAGUACAAGGUGCUUUGUUAGAUUAAAAAAUAACAAUAAAAAUUGACGAGGGUAAUUGAGGAUGAAGUCAAACUUAUAUGGAACAUUAAAAAAGGUCAAUGCAAUUUAAUUUUUUUUCUUAUAGAAAAAUAGUGGAUUAAAGUUAAUUGUUAAUAUUUAAAAAUAUUUAUUUAUGUUAAAAUAAAUUUAUAAUGGUACGAGCCUAAAUGGACCAACGCAAUUAUCUCAUGGAUUAUCCAACAAAGAAGUCUACUUGAUAAUGAGUUAAAUGACCCAAUUGUAAGGUUCAAAUCUAGGGAGAGGUGUGUCAACCUCAGUAAAGAGCGGUGUCCAUCUCGAUGAAUGAUGCAACAAUGAAACUCUUUUUUUUCAAGAAAAAUUAACAAAGAAGACAUGUCAGUGUGUUUUAGACUCCCAACCUUGGAAGAUUAUGGCAUAAAGACAAACCCUUGAGAGCACCCGACUUCCCUUAACUCCAUAAUGAAGCUGCAACGAGCCUUUAAUACUCUCAAGUGAAACAUUUUUCCAUGCACUCUAAAAUGAGCCGCUUUUUAUGGUUCUAACCCCUUUCGAGAAGGUUCAAGUCUUGGAAACAAUUGAAGGAGAUAUGCAUGACUUGGUUCACAAUGAACAAUAUAACAGAAAAAAAAAAUAUCUACAUGCUUGGUAAGACUUAGGCAAAAACCAAAAGAAUCUUGAGCUCGUUCAUGGAUCCUUUCAACAAAGAAAUAUGUCUGAUCACAAAUUUGAACCAUGCUAUAACACUCUACUUACUGGUGUCAUGUCUCAAAAUAUGACUAUUUGUUGAUUCAUUGGCGACGACUUUCCAAUACUCUUGGCGAGUUAAGAAAAGGAGCAACAUACUACAUUGUUAUGGAAGAGAUUGCACUUACGAAGUAGGGAGAUUGUAAAAUUUCCCCUCAACAAUGACUAAUUUUAGAAUGAAGGUUGCAAUUAUCGAAACAGAGGAGGACUAUUCCCAAGAAGUGUACUUUUAGGGUUCUUAGGCUUCAAGAUUACUCAAAGGACAAUAAAAAUUAACCCCGACAAGUGCAAAACCAUCCUUGGGAUCUGAAUCUAAACCUACAUAAAAGAAGGGAAACGAUUGGUAGGUCUCACAAUAUCCAUAUCUUGUUUUCUCUCUAAGUCAGCAAAUCGUUCACUGUCAUUUUAUCAAGCCCUAAAGAAGUCAUAAUGGUUUCAAUGGACCCCACCGUGCCAACUAUCCUUCAUCACCUUUAGUCUUAACUAGGACAACUCCAAGCAAGUUGACAUUUCAAUUAAAAUAUAUAGGGUAGCUGUUAGUUCGACACUAGUUAAAGAAAGAGAAAUAGCACAUUAUCCAAUGUACUUCGUUAGUAAGGUGUUUUUAUGAGUCAAGAUAUUAUACUAGAAAUUUGAGAAACUAGUAUACGUUUUGGUGGUUACAACUCAGAGGCUUAGAUAACAUGAAUUUUUCGAUCAAUAGUCUUGCAAAAACUUGAACUUUCAAAGAGGAUGGUGACUUGGUUAGUUGAGCUUUUCAAACUUCAGAUCGAUUUUCAGCCAAGAGAAACAAUUAAGUUCUAAGUCGUAGCGGAAUUUGUUGUUAAGAUGACGCAUCCACCUUGCAAAGAACAAUGAGCCUUGUUCAUGAUCAGAUUCUAGAUCCCAUAUCAAUGGAAGUGGAUAAGGCAUUAUUUUUGAAGGAUUCAUCUUCAAAAGUGCCAACAUAUAAUAAGAAUAUUAAUCGUUAAUAUCAUGAAUGCAACUCUCUUGGGAUAUGGGAGUAUCCCACUUUCAAAUUAAUAGUGAUUCGCAACUAUUUGUCAACCAAAUCAGUGGCGAAUAACAUGUCAGAGAAUAAGCCAUGGUUAGUUAGUUGGAAAAGGUCAGGAUAC
Molecule: long non-coding RNA, 59822 nt
Filed under: Medicago truncatula (barrel medic)
Lineage: Eukaryota; Viridiplantae; Streptophyta; Magnoliopsida; Fabales; Fabaceae
Description: long non-coding RNA (MTRU_LNC000010)
Rfam family: MIR2619 microRNA precursor family (bases 19112-19269)
Source: RNAcentral